RNAcentral lists this long non-coding RNA (71435 nucleotides) under Ananas comosus (pineapple). RNAcentral describes it as "long non-coding RNA (ACOM_LNC019667)". Lineage: Eukaryota; Viridiplantae; Streptophyta; Magnoliopsida; Poales; Bromeliaceae. The record is from RNAcentral.
UCAAUUUAACAUCACUAAUUUUAUUUUUAAAAAUUUUAAUUUAUUAUAAAAUAAUAUUAUAUUUUUAUAUUCAAAAUUUUUUAUUACUAAAAAAGAAGUAUAAAAUUUUGAUUUUAGGCUAUCAUAAAAUUAUGUUGCAUAAUUUUAUAGAGAGUAAGUGUAUUCUUUGUAACAAUGCUUCUAGAAAUAAAGGCAAAAACUGAGUAUUACGGAGAAUUAGCUGAAAAUUAAAAUCUCUAUAUCCGAGUGAGAAUACUUAUUGUAAAUCAAUUACAUUAACGAGUACAUCAAAAGAGUCGGGUGUUCGAGCAUCGUAGCUAGCUAGCUAGUGUCUCUUUUUUCUUAUCUUUAAGCCAAUCUUUUUUUCUUUUUUUUUUGCUUUUAUACGAUAAAAUAUAGGAUAAUUUGUGCUAUGAUUUAUUUUAGAAUAAAAAAUAUAUAAAUUCAAAACUUCGCAUGAUCACUAACUUGAGUGUUAAUAGUCAAUCUAUAAAUAACAUAUUCUAAUAUAAUAAUGUAUUGGGCUAAAUUGCACUGUUACCUCCUGGCCUUUUGGUAGAGUUUCACUUUACCCCCAAAUUCAUAAAAUGGACAUCUAAUACCCCAAACUUUAAUAUUUCAUUCAUGUUACUCUUUCCGUUAAUUUUUGGUUAACAGAGCUUGACGGUAUAACAUGAAUAAAAUAUUAAAGUUUGGGAUGUUAGAUAUCUAUUUUAGGAGUCUAGAAGUUAAAGUAAAACUCUGUCAAAAGUUUAGGGGGUAAUAGUGCAAUUUAUCCUAUUUUAUUUUUUUUACUAAACUAUAACUUAAUGUAAUUUGCACUUGAAUUAUUUCUAUAAAUAAGCAAUAUAAAUAAAAGACCAAACUUUAAAAAAAAUUAUAAAGUCAAAAAUUAAUUUCAACCCAUAUAAAAAUUAAAAAAAGAGCAUAUUACAUACUUAUACGAUCAUUCAAGAACAAAUAAAUUUCAAUCUAAAAACUCAUUUAUAAGGGUUCAUGUGAAUAGGAAAAGGGAGAGAAAGAGAGAGAUAAAUGCAUAUUGAAUUGGUUUGAAGGGUUUGGAGGGAUAACAUUAUAAUUUUACAUAAUAUGUAAGAUUAUUCGUCAUUAAUAAUACGAGAUAUUUCUCCACCACUCGAUAAUAUUUUUACGGUACGUUUGGUUCGUGCUAUUUUUUUAAGAUUCCUAAUAAUCCAAUAGGAAUAAAAAAAAUAUGACAGUGUUUGAUUAAACGCACUAAGUAAUCUAGUUGGUAAUACUAGAUUUACUUGGGAUGAGAUGCAUCCCAAAGUACUAAUCUCAUUCUUUUGAGAGAGUGUGGGUAUCAUUAUAUUAAUGAACGGCCCGGCCCGGCACGGCGCGUGCCUGCAGGGCCAAAGGGUCGUGCCGGGCCGGGGGCAAGGUAACUCGGGCCCGGCCCGGCACGGCACGAAAUUGGAUCCGGGCCGGGCCGGGCUGGCCACCAGUCCGUUUCGGCCCGAAAAAUGUGGGCCGUGCCGGCCCGGCACGGCCCACAUUACACCCCUAGCCGAAACGCACAAGGGGGAUUCAAUCCCCUCACCUCAAGGAUUCCCUCCCAAGGUACCGAAGUACGUAGUUGAGAACUUGAGUCCAACUUCUCUCCGAAGUUGGGAAUUUGUGCAACGACAAUUAGCUCGACAACAACCAGCUUUAGCGCAAGUGGCAAAGGAUCUGGUGAUUGAUAUCCAGGAUCCUAUAUUCAAAUUCUAACUGCUUCAUAUUUUUAGCUAACUUUAUUUUUAAAAAAAAUAAAACGAUACACAUCAUACUACCUUUCUUUAAAAAAAAAAAAAAAUACAAUUAAUUAGCUAGAGAACUGAACAAAUAUUUUUAGAUUUAAAUACGCAGCAUGAGUAACAAUAUUACACCAGGUUAACGAAACUAAUGGUUGCGAAGAAAAGCUGUUUAUUGGGCAAAGAUUUAUAGGCUUGAUGAUUUACGACUGAAAAUAAUGAUUAAAUAAAUAAAUAAAUAAACAACGUAUAUCCACCCGCUCUUUCCAAUAGGGAAAAAUGUGCGGGACCAUCUUGAACUUUAGUCCGAUUAUACGAAGCCGCCCAAAACUUGAAAAAGUUGAAAAAGACCGCAUGACCUUUCAAUUUGAAAGCAUGAAAUGAGUGUUACAAGCCAUAACUAGCUAGAAAAAUUUACAAAAAUUCAGACUGGGCGGCCGGAUUGCAACGCAUUGAAAGUUCAUAUAAUUUUUUUACUUUGAUUUUGAUUUUUUUUUUUUUUUUUGAAAUUUAGACGAUCAAAUAUAGUCGAACAAAAAUUCAGAAAGCCCAUUACACUUUUAGGAUGUUCAAAUUUGUGGUCCUUGUGGGAAGUCGGUCUAUGAACAGCGCUGGACUUUUUUUACAAAAUAACCUUCUAGAAUUUUAAAAUUUAUAAAAUAAUAACAAUUUAUUCAUACAAUCCUAACAAUCAAAUAAAAAUUCUAAUAAUUCAUGUAUAAUUCUAAUCACCUCACUUUUUUUCUAUUUUUCAUCUAGCAACCUCACUUUUUCUUAUUUCAUGUACAAGAAAAGGUGAGAUGUUAGACGAAAAAUUAGAAUUUUUAUUUGAUUGUUAGGAUUAUAUGAAUAAAUUGUUAGGAUUUUAAGGUUGUUAAGAUUAUAUAUAAUUUGUUGUAAUUUUUAUGUGGUUGUUAAGAUUAUAUAUAAAAUAUAGAAAAAUUUAGUAAAUAAGCAAAAGACGGUAAACCAUUCACCGACUUCGUUAAUUAUAUUAGUAAGACGGUGAAUCGUUCACCGCGUUACUUAACGCGGUGAACAAUUCAUCACCUUCAUAAGAAAAAUCUGCCCCCACCCCUACGUAGCGAAAGGAGAAUUAGUUUUACAAAUAUAAGUUUGGAAGAAUUAUUUUGCAAAUUUUAAAACUCUAUAGGGUUAUUUUGUAAAAAAAAGUCAAACAGCGCUGCCGGACACUUCUGUUUUUUUUUUUCAAAUAACCUUCUAAUUGAUAGAAUAAUUGUUUUAAAAAAAUCAUUUGAGCAAAUAACCCUUCUUUUGCCAGUCCACUGAUGCCAAAAGUGGUGAAUCAUUCAUGUAAUUAAGAAGGUGGCGGCCAAUGAUUCACCACCUAUUACCACUUCUAAGUUCUACGUUCGGAAAAUUCAAAGUUCAAAUUCAACUUUAAAUUUUAAAAUUAAAUAUCAAAUUCAAAUUUAUAUUUUGAAUUCAUCGAAAAUUAAAUUCAAAUCUUUUAAAAUUCAACUUCACAUUUCAAUUUCAAAUUCAUAUUUUGAUUUGAAAUAUCAAUUCAAAUUCAUAUUCAGACUUUAAAUUCAAAGUUAUAAUUUUAAAUUUUAAUUUUAAUUUUGAAUUCAAAAUUUGAAGUCUAAUUCAGAUUUUGAAUUCAAAUUACAAAUCAAAUUUAAAAGCUAGAUUUAAAAUUUAAAUUUAGAUUUUGAAUUCACAUUUUAAAUUCAAAGUCAGAUUUUGAUUUGAAAUAUCAAUUCAAAUUCAAAUUUAGACUUUGAAUUCAAAUAUUUCAAAUUGAAAUUUAAAUUCUGAUUUUGAAUUUAAUUUUUGAAACAAAAUUCAAAAUUUGAAUAUAAAUAAAUUUAGAUUUUGAAUACAAAUUUAAAUAUCAAAAUCAAAUUUCAAUUUCAAUUUCAAUUCCAAAGUCAAGAUUCAAAAUUUGAAUUUCAAUUCAAAUUUCUAAUUUAGUUUUAAAAUUUUAUCUUUAAAUUCAAAUUUAAAAUUUUAAUUUUAAGUUAUUACUUUAAAAUUAAUUUUUUUUUAUUUUAACUCAGACAUGAUUCACAAUUCAUAAUUAUUUAUUGAGGCAUAAUUAAAAUUUCAAAUUAUUAGUUUGAAGACCGUGAAUGGUACACUGCUUUUGGCAUAAUGAAUCAUUAUGGCGCUGAAUUGGUAAGAGAAAGACUAUUUGAUCAAAUAAAUUUAAUUUUUUAAAAUUUAUUUUAUCAAUAAAAAAAUUUUAUCCAGUUAUUUGUUAAAAAAAGGAAAAACUUUAAAUACCACCCGUGUGGUCUCGCAUUUUCUCACUUUAAUACUCUGUGGUUUAAAGUGUAUCACUCUCAUACCCUGUGGUUUUAUUUUUCUUUUUUCGUUAUCCCCUCCUUUAAUUUUUUUUUUAUUAAAUCACUGACAAAGUUAAAACUAAAAGGUACUAAAGUGAAUAUUCGAUAAACUAAGGUGAAGUAUUUGAUGUUUUUUAUAUAUGAUUCAAUGAAAAGUUAACAGAAUGACUGAUAAAAAGAGAAAAAUAAAAUCGUAAAAUACUAAAUUAAUACAUUUUAAAGUAUAGAGUACUAAAGUGAAAAAAAAUAAAAAAAAAAAAACACGUGGCGCAGGCGGUGACAUCAGCUAGGUUACGAAGCAAAUUCAGGCGUCCCCACACAUUUUGGACAUCUGACGAGCGAGCGAACCUAAUCUCUUUGCCAAAUAUGAUGGGGCCCACCACCACACCACCUCAUCCCAAAACAAGGACAGCCCACUACUCAUUGCUAUCUUCCCCCACAUGCCCCCCCCCCUCUCUCUCUCUCUCUCUCUCUCUCUCUCUUUCUUCCCCGCGCGCGCGCAGUCCCCUGAAUGCGAAAUGCCACUGGCUUACUUCUUUUGAACACUCUCCCUGCUAUUUUCUCCCCUACAUCUAUUUCACAUCAGUCUGUGCGGGUCAUCUGUCCCAUAUAUUAUAAUAAUGUUACUGAUAGCUAUUUAUAUUUAUAAUUAAAAAAGAUUUACUUGAUUCGUGUGUAUAUAUAUAUAUAUAUAUAUAUAUAUUAUAUAUAUAUAUAUAUAUAUAUAUAAUAUAUAUAUAGAGCAGGGCUGCUGUGCUCUCAGCUCUCAGGAGCACGGAGGCCUCCGUGCUCCUGAGCUGUUUUCGAUGAUGAGUUUUCGAAUCGACGAUCGCUCCGUUAAACUUGAUCUAGCGAUUUAAAGUUUCUAGAAAAUAAUUUUUGCGAUUUUUCGAUAUCAUUUACCUAGCAAUCGAAAGGAUUCAAAUCAAUAAUUUUUAACGGCUGAAAAUAAAAAUCCUAUAAAAAGUGAUGAUAUAGCACUAAAAUUUUCGAUCAGAAAUAUAGAUCUUGUUGUAGAUAGUAUAAAGAAUUUUCUCUCAAAAUUUUACUUGAUUUGAAUACUUCUACACCGUUAACUUGAAAACGGCCAGAUAUCAACCAUUAAAAAUUAUGGAUUUUGAAUCCUUUCGAUCACUAGGUAAAUGAUAUCGAAAAAUCGCAAAAAUUAUUUUCUAGAAACUUCAAAUGCGCUAGAUCAAGUCUAACGAGCCGAUCGUCGAUUCGAAAAUUCCAUCAUCGAAAACGGCUCAAGAGCACGAGGCCUGCGUGCUCCUGAGAGCACAGCAGCCCUGCUCUGUUAAUAAUAUAUAUAUAUUAUAUAUAUAUAUAUAUAUAUAUAUAUAUUAUAUAUAUAUAUAAAAGGUUCGAGAUUGUUACAUGAAUUUACUAGCACGUCAGUAAUUCUGAGUGACCUAGGCAGAGCGUCUCUUAUUUUAAAAUAGAUUUAAUGAUCAUUGUAUAAAGGGUCCCUUAAAUAGUAAAAAAAACAUAGUUCCCCGGAAGUUAGUCAUUUUAUAAAUAUACAAAGUUAUAUCUCUCAAUUCUUUUCACUAAUUUUAUUUGAGUUUUGUUUUUUUCUUCUAUAUUGAAUUGGAGAUUGUCAACAGUUGCUUAAAUCAGUUGCUCGUUCUAUUUGCGGAAAAAGUAGUGCAACACGACAGCCAUCAAACUUUCCCCAAUUAGAUUCAUCCUGAAAUGGCUCAAAUUGAAACAACUCAAAUUGAUCAGUGAUGCUAAUGAAACGAAGAGUAGUUGAGUGCUCUUAUUCAAAAUUGCUUUUAUAUAUAUAUAUAUAUAUAUAUAGUCCGGCUAUGGUGCUUGUAAAAGCACCAAGCACUUGGUACUUGUAAGUUUUUUACCAUUAGAUCUACUCCUCGGAUCAUUUUUAACCAUUAGAUUAUACUAUUCAACCAACCACUCACUCAACCCUAGGGGACUCAUAUCAUCCUAACCGUAUAUCUUUUAAUCCAAUGGCUAAAAAUCUACAAGCACCAAUAACUUAGUACUUUUAAAAGCAUAGGAGCUCAAUUUUAUAUAUAUAUAUAUAUAUAGAGAGAGUGAGGCUACUUUGCUUCUAGAAGUACGGAGCCUUCCGUGCUUCCAGGUCGUUUUCCAUGUGCAACUUUCUAAUCGUCGAUCGGCUCCAUUAAACUUGAUUUACUGUAUUUGAACUAUUUAGAAAAUAAAUUAUGCGAUUUUUCGAUAUUAUUUGUCUAGUGAACGAAGGGGCUCAAAAUCAACGGCUGAAAAUAAAAAUCUUACAAAACGUGAUAAUAUGACAUUAAAAUUUGAAAACAAAGAUAUUGAUCUUGUUUUAUAUAGUAUAAAUGAUUUUCUAUCAAAAUUUCACGUGAUUUGGGUAUUUCUACACCGUUAAACUUGCAAACGGCUCACUACGACCAUUAAAAUUAUUAAUUUUGAGCUCCUUCGAUCACUAGGCAAGUGAUAUCGAAAAAUCAUAAAAUUUAUUUUCUAGGUAUUUCAAAUACUCUAGAUCAAGUUUAAUGGAGCCGAUCGACGAUUCGAAAAUUGCAACAUUAAAAAUGACCUAGAAGCACGAAAGGCUCCAUACUUCCAAAAACAUAGUAGCGUCACUAUAUAUAUAUAUAUAUAUAUAUAUAUAUAUAUGAGUUGAGUUAGAAUAUUAUCGAUAGCAAACGAGCUCUUUUGCCACCCAUUUGUUUUCGAUGAUAGAGCCUCCAAAUCGACGAUCGGCACCGUUGAACAUGAUCUAUAUCACUUGAAGUGUUUAGAAAUCAAAUUUCAAAUCUUUUCGACAUCAUUUGCUUAAUGAUCAAAGGGUUUCAAAUUUUAUAAUUUUAAUAGUCGAUAUGAGGCAUUUUCUCGUUUAACGGUGUAAAGAUAUCCAAAUCAAUUGAAUUUUUGUUAAAAAAUUUUUUAAACUAUUUAAAACAAGAACUAUACUUUUGAUCUUGAUUACAAGACUCCUAUCAUUAUAUUUUUGAGAAUAUUUAUUUUCAGCCAUUCAUUUUUAUGUCCACUCGAUGGAUAAGAGAACAAUAUCGAAAAUGUAUGAAAUUUGAUUUCUAAAUACUUCAAAUGGUAUAAAUCAUGUUCAACGGUGCCGAUCAUCAAUUUGGAGGCUCGAUCAUUGAAACAAAUGGGUGGCAAAAGAGCCGAUUUGCUAUCGAUAGUAUUCUAGCUCAACUAUAUAUAUAUAUAUAUAUAUAUAUAUAUGUAGAGAGCUAGGCUCCUAUACUUUCGAAAGUACGGAGGCCUCCGUGCUUGUAAGUUGUUUUCGAUGAUGGGACAUCCGAUUCGGCGAUCGGUUCCGUUAAACUUGAUCUACGCUAUUGGAACUAUCUAAAAGCCAAUUUUAAUAAUUUUUUGCUUUCAUUUGUUUAGUGAACGAUUAGCCUCAAAAUGAACGGCCGAAAAUAAAAAUCUCAUAAAAAACAGUGAUAAAGGACUCAAAUUUCAAAUCGGAAGUAUUGAUCUUGCUAUUGAUGUUAAAUAGAAUUUUCUAUUAAAUUUUUAUGUAAUUUGGAUACUUCUACACCGUUGAACUUAAAAACAUGCCACAUCGGCCGUUAAAAUAGUCAUUUUUGAGACCUUUUGAUCGCUUGGUAAAUGAUGUCAAAAAAUUAUAAAAUUUGGUUUCUAGAUAAUUCCAAUAGGGUAGAUUAUAUUUAACGGAGCCGAUCGUCGAAUCGAAUGUCCUAUCGUCGAAAACAACUUACACGCACGGAGGUCUCCAUACUUUCGAAAGUACAGGAGACGUACUCUAUAGACAUAUAUAUAUAUACAGAAUUGAGUUAGAAUACUCUCAAAAGUAUCAAUCCCUUGGUGCUUUUGAGUUUCUAGCCCUUGGAUCUACUUCUUGAUUACUAAUAGCCUUUUGAUCAAAUACUAUUCCACCUACCACCAUCAUCUUAAGCCUACAUCUCUCCAUCCAAUGACUAAAAACUCAAAAACACCACUCCCUUGGUGCUUUUAAGAGUAUUCUAGCUCAACUAUAUAUAUAUAUAUCUAUAUAUAUAUAUAUAUAUAUAUAUAUAUAUAUAUAUAUANNNNNNNNNNNNNNNNNNNNAUAUAUAUAUAUAUAUAUAUAUAUAUAUAUAUAUAUAUAUAUAUAUAUAUAUAUAUAUAUAGUUGAGAGAUCGUUAACGCGUAGGAUAGAGAGUUACAGUAUGUAGAGAUUUGGCUUUGCUAGCAAUUUCAUAGUUUUAACAAAACUAUUUCUGUGUAGCUAAUAAUUGAAAAGCACUACUAGAGAAGGGUUAUUGUUGUAAAUAAAACAGAGCCCAUCAAGCAGGGUAUUAUUUUGCUUCGGUGUAAUCUAUGCAUAUAUGUAUAUAUGCAUCUGUGCCUUUCAUUUAUUUUCGGACGUGUUUGCAUACAAGCUCCAACUUGGUGUUUGGAUCAUCUACGUUACGUAAUCGGGAGGCACAAGAUGACAAUAUGUCGUUUGCAUGGUCGGUGUGAGAUUGAUUGUUUCUUGUUCUCAUUUGACUUGUUGUCUAUAUAUUAAUUAUUAUUAUUACCUAAUAUUCUCAAACCAUUAUUCAAAAGAAAUUUAAUGGUUUAAGAAUUAAAGAGCAAUAUAUGGUCAAAAGUACAAAUAUCAAUUUACCAUAUGGGAAUAGUAAAGGGAAUAUCCAUACAUUUUAUCAUUGAAAAAAACAAAAAAAAAAAGAAGAAGACAAACUUAGAAAUAAAAUUGACAAAUUAUUGGACUCACUAAACCUAGUCAAAUCUAACAUACGUACACCAUAUAUGGAGACCCACAUUAUGAAUAUUUCAAACAUAUUAAAUGGAGAAAUUAAAUCCACUUGUGGAUGUAGCAAUCAAAGAAUGAAUGUCAUGGUAUAAUAAUAGAUUCAACGAAAAUAAAAGAAAGGAAAAGAGCAAGAGCAAGAGGUAUUCUCGAUGCGUUGUUGUGGACUACGAAAUCACGUCUUCUUUGAGCCGCCAGAAUUAAGAUUUGAUCGCACCGCAUCCAAUCUAUGUAGAAAAAUAAUAUAAAAUAAUAUAAAGGCGGCCAAACUUGAAAGGGAUGGUACGGAGAUGAGGAUCAGAUAAUCCAUUUGGAAUUCAGGAACAAAAUCUCGAUUUAUUUUGAGAUUUUAUGUAAUUUCUCACCUCUUUAGGUUGUAACAGUAAAAAGAGAAUUAUGUUUUCUUAUGAUCCACUGGUUCUAAUUAACCACCGAUUCUGACCGUGCAAAUACUAUUUGAAUAAAACUAUUUCAAAAAACACUAACAGAUUCUUGAGUUACUCGGCUCAAAUACUUCACUUUUGGAGCAUCAAGCAAAAGCAAAAAGAUCGGAGCUUCUUGUCACGGACUUAAGUGAAAUCACUUGUCUAGCCCGUGCGGCGCUCGCCUUCCUUCGUAAAGUGAACUAGUCUACCUCUCAACUAGCUAAGUCAGGACCUACUCGCUCUGAGACUAAGUAGGAGAGAGAGAGAGUUUGAGGAAUGUUGUUGUAUAUUGACAAGAGAAAGAUUACAACUGACUUCCUAAGGAGAGGGGGUGGAGGCCACAAUCUUAUAUAAGCCACUCGCCACCCAAGCUACAAAUGAAAAGGCACCAAGUGGCGCAUAACUACAAGGCAAAAAAGGAGGUUACAAGCUCCCAAGAGACUACACUUAUUACUCUCCUAAAAACUCUAAGAGACUCUUGACCCUUCGGCAUCCGCGCUAUCAGUCUUGAAACCUGCAUAGAAGCUUCUGGAACGUCCCAACAAAACCUCCGACAAAACUCUCCUUCGGAGAUUAGGCGACUACAAAGGAGAAGUCAGCGAAAAACACUUUGUCACUGACAACCUCCCACGCCUAACGCACAGACGCCCUCGUCGCGUGCGGAGCUGCUCCCGAUCUGUGUAGCCUUUCGUGUAGUCCGCCGUGCCUUCGCGCCCGAAUAGCCCCGAGCCUUGCUACCGUAGUCCGCAUUUGCCCCUGCACCAGCCCCUAGUGCCUUGUCCCUCUGAGAAUCCCCCAAGUGUGCCUGCCCUCAACGACACACACGUACACGCCGCCAAGGCACAUGAUGCUCCAGGGUCCCCUUGGACUCCUGUUUGACAGAAUGACUCGCACUUUGCUUGGAAGCUGGCUGCUUCAAUGCCACCUGAGACUAGAUAGCCUCACAGCUACUAAGAUCCUCCUCCUUAAGGUCCUCAGCCUUCCUGCACUGCACCUCCUUGUAAAGCUGUAGGGCCGCAUCGGCUCGCCUCGACACAGCGAAACCAUGCAAGGCACCGACUCGUCUAGGAAGCUCAGCACCCACAAGUGUGGCAUAGACGUUGCCUUUGAUGAAACUAGAAAGUCCAUCCGGAGAAUUACUCUGAAGUUGUCGAGUGGCCCAAUAGUGAGAUUGGCUUGCCCCUCCACGGAUCGAUGGCUAUGUCCAACCCUUUGGCAACUCCUGUGAUUGGACUUUCCUUGGAGUUGACCGCCUUGAUGCAGCUCGCAUCCUUCUCGAGUAUGAGGCCCAACCGCUUGGCCUCCACCUCCGUGACAAGAUUGUGUGUCGCGAUGGUGUCGGUCAUCGUCUAUGUGGUCCUCCUAUUGAGGAUCACAUCAACGAACAUUAGCUCCCUCUUGCUGAGCUUGUCGUCGCUUGGCUGACCACGAACUGCAUUGACGAGCCGCGCCCAUCCUUAGCAGCUCCACCAUAUCCUCGCCCUCCUCGGCUUGGACCGCAGCCACUUGCUUUCCCUUCUAGUUGCUCCUGUUUGGGCAGUUCCACACCCAAUGGUUCUCACCGCAAACAUAGCAUGAGAUCUUUGCAGACGGCGGGGCGGGAUUCUGCUUGUGCCUCGUUGCAUCAUGGUUCCGCUUGUGCCCUUUCGCUCCCCCUAGAUCGCGGUGCCCUCCCCCACGUUUGGCCUCGCUCGCCUUUAGUGGUUCACCUUGAUCGCCCUCAGUUUACUCCCACUCAGGCAAUUUCUUCGCCAAAGCGGUCGCGGAGUUCAGGUCCUUCAUAUUUCGCCCCAAGAUCUUUUUGUUUACCCAUGAUUGAAGGCCGUCUAGGAAGAAAAACAAUCGUUCCUCAUCGGCCAUGUUGGAGAUCGCCAACAUCAGCAUUGAGUACUCUUGGAUAUACUCCUUGAGUGUCCCACGAUGUUUGAGCCAUUGAAGUUGCUUCCGCGCAAGAUAUUCAUCGCGCUCGGGGUAGAACUGCGCGUUCGCGCACAAAGUCCUCUCAAGUGGUAAGUUGAUAGCGACCCUGCUCGGCCUCUGCCGACCGCCGACGCCACCGCAGCAUGGCAUCGUCGAAGAGGUACAUGGCUGCGAUUUAGACUUUAUCCUCCUGGUCCUCCAAUUGCAACCCCUUGAGACAGCGCUCCAUGUGCCAAAGGAAAUUAUCAAUCUCCUUCUCAUCUCGCGUGCCCUUGAGGUGUUGGGGUUCAGGGACGUGGACCUCGAGGUGUGCUUCUUUCGCAUCUUGACAUCGCGAGCCACCACCUUCUCAUGUAUAGUCACUCGCAUCUUGAGGUCCUCGACCUCGUCGACCUUGGUGACAAGGUCCUCGACCAGCACCUUUCGCUCGUCCUUGCGACGGGCGAGGUCGCUACAGAACUACUCGAGCUGAUAGCGAAAAGUCGCCAUGGCAGCCGCUACAUUAUCCUCCAUGGCAUGCAGCCCGUCUUCCAUCAUCCCCACAUGUUGGGACAGGACGAAGUAGUGUUCCAACGGUCUCACAGCAGAGUCCUCCAACGAGCUCACACGGUCUUUGAGUGGCGCGAACUCCUUCGCAAAGGUCUGCGGCUCCUUGCUCUUGCCACACUUGGACACCCUGGGUUCAGGCACAAUGCCAACGAUGGCAACAUUCGACAUAGACAUGGCUUCCCAGCUCUGAACUCACUCUGAUACCAACUGUCACGGACUUAAACAAAAUUGCUUGUCUAGCCUAUGAAGCACUCGCCUUCCUUCGCAAAGUGAGUAAGCUUACCUCUCAACUUGCCAAAUCAGGACCUACUUGCCCUAAGGUUAAGUACAAAAGAGAGAGAGAGUAUGAGGAAUGUUGUUCUAUAUUGAUAAGAGAAAGGAUUACAAUUGAUUUUCUAAGAAGAGGGGUGUCACAACCUUAUGUAGGCCACUCAUCACCCACUCAUUGCCCUGCAUCCGCACCAUUAGUCUUGAAACGCAUAUAGAAGUUUCUAGAAUGCCCCAGCAAAACCGACAAAACUCCCUUUUGGAGAUUGGGCGAUUGCAAUGGAGAAAUUAGUGGAAAACACUAUGUCCGUAACAUUCUGCUUUAAAAAAAAAAAAUCAUAAAAUCAAUUCAUACUAUCAUAGUAAAGGCUAAAAGUACUGUUUGAAUUGCGCGGUUUAAAAAAGCAUUAACAACUCUUUAAUUAUAAUCUCCUAAUAUCCUGUCAAUGAAUUACAGCAUUUGCUUUUUGAAGAUCAGAAACUCAUUUCACUUGUAAUGAUAAAAGCUAAAGGAGCGUUUUAAUACAACUGUUUGAAGACAUAAUUUUUUACUUACAAUCUCCACAGAGCAUCCUACAAGAAAGAGCACAAGUAAACGCAAAUAAGAUAAGAAGUUAAAAAUAUAACAAAAGAGACCUUAAUAAAUAAAACAAGAAAGAGACAAAGGCAAUACCUUGACCUAGGUCUCUGUUUCUAGAGGGGACUUUUGGCUAACGAGAAAUUGUUUUUCUAAUAUCCCCUUUCCUGUUGCUAAUUACUCCACCAACCAAAUCGUCAUCAUCUUCAUCAUCUGAUGUGGCUUUAUAAAUUUUUCUUUGUAGAACACAUCAGCAUAGGUUAAUCCAGUCUCCAAAACUAUGUGGAAACCAAAAAAAGAAGGAUCUAUAAAGGUUUACUUCAAAUAUAGUACCUCAAUUAUGACCAUUUUAAUUUCCAGCUCAUACCUUCGACUGUAACAGUUUAGUCCCUAAAGUUUGUAUCGAAUAACAAUCAAUCCCUAAAGUUUGUAUAGAACCCUCUAAAGAAGGCAUAUCAUAGCAGCACCAUUGUUAGAAUAUCCUUUCAACUAAAAACUCUAAAAGUCUACCUCAUUUUUCACGAAGUAAAUUUUAUAAAAAGCUGAAACUUUGAGUUAGUUAAUUGAAUCAAAUGAAAUGUAAGGAGAAAAUUGUUAUGAUGGAACCUUAGGACAAAAGAAAUUCAUAUCAAGAUUUAUGGAAUAGAUGUAAUUGACGUAACCAACCAUUAAGUGACAAACCAUCCUCAUCUAUAAUGCAAUUCACUACAGAAACAAGCAAUCCAAGGGCUGCAGUAGAUAAGAUCAACAAAAACCAUUUCUGCUGCUGGGUUAAUUUGUGUCUUAUUUCAUUGGUGGAAAACCUGGUAACUAAUUCAUUACUUUUGCUUUUUUUAAAAAAAAGAACAUUUGAGCCCCCACAAGCCAGUCGUUUUAACUUGAGAUGAAAUUUUUGCUUCUGACAAAAGGAAAAUAAUUUGGAUUACACACAAAGGGUGAAGGAUGGUAGUAGCAGUCCAUAUCAAUAAUAGAGUGGCAAACUUGUAACUUCACAAGAAAAAGGAGGGAAGCUGUGGAGCCCACCAAUACAAGCAUGCAAACCAAUGAGAAGCACCAUCAUGUGCUUACAUUGAACCAGAUUGGCUUUUAUUUGUCAGCUAAUGCUUAUUUCUAACAUUCAUUAUUCAGUGAUCUACUGUUGUACAAACAUUUACUUACCACCUAAUUCUCAGAUUAUUAAAAAGGAUACAAAUCUCAUCAACUAUAGCCACAUUAGUAUAAAGCUAACACACACCAAAAAGUAUGAGGCAUAAAGAGUAGGCUCUUUUGAAGCAACCACCUCUCCUCCUCUUUUUUUUCUCAGAAAGAGGCUUCUUUUGGGAAUCUGGAGAAAUGGCUGCCGAAGCAGAAAUGGAGGAGAAGGUGAGAGAAAUUUUUCUUUACUUUAUUAUUUCCUUCUUUAACGCAUCCUUCCAUGCAAAGAAACACAUUAUGCUAUUUAAAACACACUUGGAUAAUUUUAGUUUUAGAACUUCAGCUGCACAGUGAGUGUUUCCUGGUGAAUAAACUGAGGAUUCUGUCGAUUAUGUGGAUCAUGUGAUAAAAAGCAUUUAUUUGAUUAUAUUUCUUUGAUCGUACCCCUUGAUCUGAAAGAUUCAUAGCAACAUUAUAUGAGUACAGAAAGGAAAUAGGAAAUUUAUUUGUUUGAUUUGUGCUGAUUAGCUGGUUAUCAUUAUAUGGUUGAUCUGAUUUAUACCAGUUUGAAAAUUAGGCAGAGUUUAAUUUAUGUUAUUUCAUAUAAUGAUCAUAACUUACGCUUUUAAAAGAUGUUAUUUCUGACUCUGUUAUAGUACAAUAUAAUCAUGAUUUUGAUAGAAUUAGAGUAUCCAGAUGGUUAUUAAUCAACAAUAUGUUCUUUGAAUAUUCAGAUAAGAAAACGCAAUACUAUGUUUAGGCAUAUGGUUUUAACAAUGAGACCAGUAAAUAACAGUAGUUAAAUCGGCAUCAAAAAUAGAUUAGUACUAAAGUAAAAGAUAAUAUACUAACUACAUAGAGACAUUUGUUUUUGAAAUUACUUUCUGAGUCUUCAGGCUGUAAAUAUUGGCUCCUUUAUCAUCAAAACAAGCUGGUUGAUUCUGCAUAGGUUUUUUUCACAAAUAAUAAAGAAAAAAAUAAUAAAUAACCUGGAGAAAAGCACUUAUAUGAUGCAUGUAUCCACAUAAAAAAGAAAUAAAGAGACAAAAAGAGAGUAAACUAUUGUGAGUGAUCACUUAAUUAGCGUUAUAAAUCUCUAUGCAAUAUAAUAAGCCUAUUAUCAUUAAAAGUAAGCAAUUUGUUAAAUGGUUUUCUUGGUCCUACCUUGUAAAGCAAGAUAAUAAUUUAUACUGUCUCAACUACCUGAGGUCUUUUUCCUUUCUUUUUUUUUUUUUUUUUCUUCUUUUCCUUUUCGAGUGAAAAUUAUUUGAGGUCAAUAAUAGUCUCAUGCCACAUACAAGUGCUGGGGUAGUAUAUCACUAUAAAUAAUGCAUAAGCCAUCAAUUUUUUUGUUUCUUGACAAGUGUCUUUCCAUCAUUAUGUGAUUCAAUGAUGGGAAUUUUCAUUGAAUACUCUAAAUAAGAAUAGAAAGGAUUAAAGUAAAGAUAGAUUAUUUUUCCAUAUAUCCACGAGUUCUAUCGAUCAACACUGAACUAGCUUCCAUUGCAUGCCGAGACAGCAUCUUGCCUGCUAAAUCUUAAGUUUCAUUCCGAACAAAAUACAUCAAAUGAAUUGUCUCAUAAACUCAAAAUAAAAUGCAGUAUGCACUACAUUAUAGUUAUAAAGAUAUUUUAUGUUCAAGGAUUCAAUUUCCUGUCCUACACAGUCCAAAUUCACCAUAAUACACAAACAAAUUUAGUGGCAUAUUUGAAAAAAAAAAAAAAAUGAAAUCAAGUGUUCCUGACUGAUCUGCCUUGCAGAAUUCAGAAACGAUUGGGCAAAAUCAAACACAUGGUGACGCCGAUGCGAUAGAGCAAAACAGUGUUCUAAAUGAGAAAAUUAAAGAUGAUGCACCAAGUUCAGUUAUUGAAGGAAAAUUGAGUGCUUCUGAGGGUGAAGUUUUUAUUGAAGCACCUUCUGAAGAUAAGCUGACUUCGGAACAGAUGUUCAUUGAUGAAGGAACCACAGCCAAAGAAAAGGUUCUAGAGUGCAGGACACAUUUUAAGAUUGAUGAGAAAGAUGAAUUUGAGGAGGCCGAAGAUGAAGCUCUAAAAUCACAGUUGGUACCAAAUGCGAAUUUAAUAAAUGAUCUGCCCACUGAACAGACUACCGAUGAAAGCAGCAAAAUGGAUGAAACUGAUGUGUUAGAGAGCCCAGAGGAGAGAGAUUUGGGAAAAGGUAGUGAUGAGUACGAAAGCUCAGAAAACUUACCUAUAUUGGAAGUGAAAGAAAAAUAUCCUCAGAAUGAUGGAGAGAACACAAAAAAGAAAGCUGAAGAACAACAAAGUAGCAAAGAUCUAGGUUUAAUUGUACAUGGAAAAGAUAAAGAAGACAAGAUUACAGAGUCGUUUCAUGAAACACCUACAGAACAGCAAACUGAUGAUAGCAAAAUUGAUACUUUUUCGGACGCACAGUUAACUAAUGAGACACAGUCAGUGUAUGAGAAAAAGGAGACUGAGGAAACAGCAGAAAUAUCAGCAGCUCUGCUGAAUAAAGGGCAUCACUACGAAAUUAGCGCCGAUCAGGGUGGAGUAGAAUUUAAAAUAACAACAUCAAAUGAAGAAGAGAUUCAACACAAUGAGUAUAGAGAACAGCAAUCUGAAGUCAAAAACAGCACAGACUGCAUGAAUCCUGAGAAAGCUUCUGUAGAUGAGAAUUCGAAAGCAAUACAGGCUAUUGACUCAACCAAUAUAAAAUCAGAUGAUUCAGAAAAAGACCAAGCGCAAGCACAUAUAUUAGCGAAGAGUGAAGAGUAUAGUGAUGCAGUAACGACAGAAGCGACUGUGUGUCUGGAAAAACUACAAGAUAAGCCGGAAGAAUCUACAGUUGAAGAUACUUUGCUUUCAGAAACCAAGGAAGUUGAUGGAGCUGGAGAGACUAAAAAACUUAACAAAGAAAUGAUAGACACAGAAGGACGAGGUGUUAGCUUGGAAGAAGCUUCUCAUGAUGCCAGUCUGGAUGUGCCAAAUGAACAAGACCAUGGAUAUCAGGUAUUUAUGUCCUACAUGUUAAAAGGUUUCAGCAAAGAAAAUAAGUUUUCUUAUCUUCUGUUACUUUCUCCUACUGGGCUUUUGCUAGGCUUCUAGCCAAAUUAGCAAGCAUAAUGAUUUCCUAAAUACCUUACCUUAAAUGAGUAAUCACAUAAAUAAGUUCCUCUCUGUAAGCCUUCAAAGUAAAUUUGAAAUGUGUAAAAUUUCUAAUUUAUAAAAUGUUUACACUUCUAUUUUCCUGAUAUAAUUUGAAAAUGUGUGCAGACCACAGCCCCAGAUGGAUUGAGUGAAGAGGUGGGCUUCACAAGUGAAAAGGAUGAAAACAUGUGCAAGAAAGAUGAUUGUGCUGGAGAGACCGCUCAAGAUUUUCCGGAGGAAACUACUCACAGAGCAGGGAAGGAUGGAGAGGAAACAGAUGCAAAGAAUAUUGGAAGUGAAGGCAAUGAUAGAGAUGUAAAAGGAAUUCCUGAUGCGGCAUCUGAGGAAGAUAAUAAUGCAAAGACACCAGAUAAUACAAUCACAAAAGAAAUUACAAUAGCAGCAGAACAAGAAGAUGAGGCGAGGAAAAAAGUGAGUUCAAACAACGAGGAAACAGAAGGUGAAAAGGUAUCAACAUAUCAACUAUGCCCUUAUCAACUUUCUUUAGUCUUUUUAAGCAUUUGCUAGUAAAUAAUUUGUUGGUACGUGUAUAGGAAUAAGGACUGAAUAGGAAAGUUGAGCAAUGAAUAUACAGAUAUAAGUCAUAUCUGUUUUUCCAUCAUGCCUAAUUUUCUGUUGUGCUUGUUACCAUUAGCUUUAUUUUUCAAUCAAACCAUUUUAUUAACUUUUUACAAUUUCAUUUAAGCAGAUAUCUAGUGUUAAAGGUGAAAGUGAACCCACAGAGGUGGAGGAUGAAUAUGUAAGAAACACUGUUGGUGAUGCCUCUGAUAAAGGAAAGCCAACUGGGAAGCCUGCAGACGUAGAUGAUGUGGUAGAUGAUGUGCACGAAGAAACCAUAGGACAUACAUGUGACGAACAACAUCAAGAAAAUGUUGAGAGCAACGAAAAAAACGAGGAUGGUGAACAGAGAGAAGAGGAACAUCAAACUCUUCAACAAGAGGAAUUGGUUUCUGAAGUUGAAAAUCAAGAGACAACUUCCACAACAGGAGCAAACAAGAUGGAGAUCUCGAAAGAAGGCGAAAACCUCAUUAAUACGGUAACCUGCUUUAUUCAAUUACAUAGUAUGUUAAAUUCCUUGGGACCUAUCUGGAAGCUAAAAUAACUUACCUAGCAUAUCUCCUCUUACUGACUCGAGAACCCUUUAUUUCUUGAUUGUUAAGCAGCACAAAAUUAUGUCUAAACAAAGAGCAAAAAAGUAAGCAAACUUAUUUAAGGAUAUGAUAACUCACCUUGUAGGUGAAGCAUACUAGUUUAUAUCAUCAUGGCUUUUAAAGGGAAUUGUCUAAAGUGAAACUCUUUUCUCAUAAUCACUAAUUGUUACCUCCAUCCAAAACUAGUUAUCUACACAAACAUUAAGGGUUUGUAUGUUGUGCAGUUGUACAGAUUUUUCACACUCCCUAUCAACCAUUACCACAUGCACCUUGAGCAAACAGUAAGUCAUCUGCUGAACAAGAUACUCGUGCAUCUAAAUAGGCCAUAUAGAUUUUGCAUUGAAAGACAAUACAAUAAUUCUAGCCUGUAAACUCUUUUCUGAAACUUGUCUUUUAUUAAACUUCUGAUUUACCAACUAUGGGCAGAUUUCUGAGUCAGUAAAUCUGGAGGAAACUAAAAUUGAACAUGGGAAGGAUGACAAGAAGAUCAAGGAGAGUGUUGAAGAUAAUCCCCGAGAUCAUGCCUUGCCUUCACAAACAAUACAUGAUGUAGCAGACGCAGACCACGCAGAAGCAAAUCAAAGUUUGGAGGGGAAGGACGACAAUAUUGCGAGUCUUGAGAAAGAAAGUAUCAAAAGCAAGGGACCUGAUGAGGUUCACCCCAGUGAAUCAGAAACACAUCAGAGUUUGGUGGACAAAGACAACAAUAUUGUAAGUCUUGAAAAAGAAAGCAUUGAAAGCAAAGGGCCUGAUGAGGUUCAACUCGGUGAAUCAGAAGCCACCAAGGUAGACUUUCUUUUGAAUUCUUCAAAACUUUAUGUAUUUAAUUUAACUAUUCAAUUUGCUUUCCUUGAACUCACUGUUUUUCCAACAUGCCUCCUCAUCUCAAGUUUGACUUGUGAAAAAUUUGAUCAACCAGGUUGCUGAAAUUGUUAGCACAACUGAUGAGGCUGAAACUACGUCUGUAGACGGAGGGGAAAGUGUUGAUGUCGACAAAGAUAAGGCAGAGUAUCAAGAGCACAAAAAUGUUAGAGGGUCAGUGAUGGAGGAAUAUAAUCAAGGGGAAGCAAAUGAAACACAAAUGGCCAAGAGCCAUGAGGUAAUAAUUGAUUCAAUGCCACGUAUGGUUUCUUACUAAGUCCAAAAUUCGUAUAUUUUACUGCAUGGCCAGAAGUAUAGAAACGAUUGAACUAAUAAUUCUUAACUUCUCCUCUAAAACCCUCAUUUCAAUAUAACAUUAAUUGUUGUCCUAUCUUGAUCAGAUCCCUGAAAUGGAUGAUCUAAGCCCUGAAAAGGCUUCGGAGACAAAUAAAUCGGUGAUGAAAGAUAUACAUGACAAAACUAAAACAAAGCAUGAAGAGCCAGAUUUUGCAAGUAACAAGCCAAUUAAUCAGACUAACAUGCCUGAACAAAGUCGAAUUCCUGAAGAAGAAAAUACUAUCAUGGAAAGCAAAACGGAGUCAAGCUUCCCAAAGGAUGCAAUUGAAAAUGCCCUGAAAUCAGACCCUGAUGAGAAAGAUGAGGAAAUGCUAAAGAAUGAGGAAUCCUCACAUAUUUUCCCAGAGUCCUCUCCCAACGUUGAUCAUAAAAUUGCUAGGGGAUUAUCUCAUCAAGAUGAAGGGAACAAGAUAUGUGAGGAUGCAGCACUAGAAACCCCAUCUGGCAAUCAAAGCCGUGAAGCAGAUGAGGAGCAAAUAGAAAUUGGGAAACCUAAAAAGCUGAACGAACUUAAACAAGAUAUUCCUAUGAAGUACUUUGAUGCUGUAAACAGUCAAGAAGAGACGAUACAUAAAGAAAAUCCUGAUAAUGUGGAAGAGAGCGAGAAGUGUGAAGUAAAGGAUGAAACUGCUUUAACACUCGAGCGAGCAUCUGCAGCGGACUCUGAAGAGCCCAGUCAUUGGCUGUUUAGCAGUUGUGAGAAGGUAUCCAAGUCUUAACCCAUACAAAAAUUUCAACAUUCUUUAUCCUUAUUUAUGAAUUGUUAAUGAAUAAACUAUUGACAAAGAAUUUUAAGUUUCUAUCCGCACAAGUUGUGCCCACCAUGCCAUACCAUGCAGACAAUAUAUCAGCAUGAUACCACCCGCAUGCCGAUGGCACAACUCAAAAUCAUUUUUUUUUCAAAAAUUAACAAGUAGCUACAUUAAUCAAAUACCAAAGAAUAUAGUUGUGCCAAAAGAAAAUAUAUGUUUUCAUAGUUGGAUAAAUUGAGUAGAAAAAGUAUAUGAAGCAGAAAGAUGAAAAAGUCUUUGAGUGUAGCAAUGCCACUCUCCUUAAAGCUAAAUCGUCCCCACCAUUCUCGUAAUUUGGUGUGCACUGGGUUAACAAAUAGCUUCUCAGGAUACAAUGAAAUAUAAACCUCAACUUCGUUUGCACACGUGAAGUCGAGCCUUUGAGCACUCACUCGAUUAAAUUGUCAAAAAGAAAAUAGAAUAAGAAACAAGAAAUUAUUAUAGAUAGAGACUUAAACUUUCCAACUGUCCUUCAGCAGUCAACGUUAUGGACUUAUAUGGACCACGAACAGGUGCUUUAUGAAGUGACAAUUCAUGAACGGGUGCUUCAUGAAGUGACUUUUCCUUUGAUCAUAACUAUCAAUUAGUUAUAUGAGUCAAGUUCAAUGAAUGUAAGAAUUAAUUUCAACGGACAUCCAUGAAAGGACACACUAAAAAGUUGUCUUUCUAUGUCUUAUCCUUUCAAUAAAAAUCACAUCCUUUCAUAUUCAUUCACCAAGAGUUACGACCUUUGAUUAGAGUCACAUCUACUCACUAAGAGUCGCAUUUGUACUAAGGGUUGCAUCCAUUCACUAAAACUCAAAGGACAAAAUAAAUAUAUAUUUUAAAAAUUUCCUUACAUUCAUGCCACAAUGUAUUGGCACAUAGAUAUCGUGCCAACAGCAUAGAUUGACACGGCAUAGCACGAUGGUGUGCCAUGCCACACCGUUGCUUAGCAUGAACCUGCAACUGACUAAGUGCAAAAUGUAGAUCAGAAGAUGAAAGAUGGGCAACCAAAAAAAAAAAGAGAAAGUAAGAUUUGUAGUUUCUGCAAGGGGCAUUUUAGCCAACUAAUCUCAUCCAAACUUUAUAUUCUAAAAAUAGGCCUACGAAAAUCGUAUUUACGGAAAUAGGCACGAAACUGCCACGUAAGCAGUGAGAUAGCGGAGGAAGAUAGAAGCCGUGAACCAAGUACCACUUUCAAGUGAAGACGGUAAAUGAUUCACCGCUUUCAUAAAAUUUUAAAAAUCCUAUGAAGGCGGUGAAUGGUUCACCGCCUUCAUGCAAUUCCCCGCGCAGAAUAUAAUAGUUAUGAACGCGGUGAAUGGUUCACUGCAUAUUAAGGCGGUGAAUCAUUUACCGCUUUUAUAUGCAGUGAUCCAUUCACCGCAUUUAUGAUAACCCCCACCCAGCCAAUUAGUUUGCAGAUUCCCACAUUAUACAAAAUAGCAAUAUUUUCAAGCAUUUCAAUUACAAGAAUAAAUACACAAAAUCAUCUAUAUCAACUUCAACCACACUUUAAGCAUAUAAAAUGAGCCAUACCAAUAUCAAGAUACUUCAAUAUGAAUAAAUUUAGAUAAUACCAUAAAAAAUCAAUGUAGAAAAAAUCAGAAAUAUCAAAUAUACAUGAGAAUCCCAAAAAUGAUAAACAAAAUCAAGUCCCCUCCAUCCCCCUCACAUGCUCUCGCCCUCGUCCCCUGCCACGUCCACGUCUGCGUCCACAACCGCGUCCUCGACUUCGUCCUCGAAUAUGCAUAUCAUGCUCCAUCCCAGGCUGCACGGGCUCAAUGACAUGCAUCUGAUCAAUAUGCUCAAUGGCGAUGCCCUCGACAAUCGGCUCCACCCCUUGCUCAUCAGCCGAUGGUACUGCGUCUCAAUAUGACCCUAUCAUCGUCGCCUACAUCAAUAUACAACAUCAUCGCAAUGAACCUAUGACGUGGAUGAAACGUCAGGAGGGAUAGGCAUGAAUGGAAUAUCAAAAUAGGAUACCUCUGACGUAGAUGGAAUAUCAAAUGGAGGGAUGGAUGCCGACGAAAUAUCAAACUCCACUUCUGAUGUCGAAGGGAUAUCAGAUGUCGAAGGGACAUCAGAUGGAUGAAUCGGGACAGAUGUCGAUAGAAAAUCAUAUGUAGGCAUGGAGGUGGAGGGAAUAUCACCAAAAUCAUAUACAGGCAUGGAGGUGGAGGGAAAAUCACUGUAAUCAGCAAAAGCCGGAGAAGGAAUAUCCGGAUGCCCUGUCACGGGAAAAGGGCCACCAACAACUACAUUCGAAAAUUCGUACUCCCUACAAUUGAUAGAAGAAGGCAAUCUAAAAUAAUUAUACAAUUGUUAUAUUAAAAUAAUUAUACAAAAGUCAUAUUUUGCAAUACUAACCUGGGUGCAUUUGCUCCUCCUCCAAUAUCAGCACGAAAAUGUUCUCUUUCGGGGCCAGGGAAUAAUACAUCCACAUUAAAGUCACUAUUUAACAUUCUAGAAUAAUACCCCUGAGAUAAAACCAUCUGUUUUUCAACGAAGAUUAUCAAACACGGAGGGUUCCCCGACAAUGCCAUCGCACCACACAAUGAGUCAUCAUCCGUAACUUCAACAACAUCGAACUGAUUCAUCCCAGUCGAAUAUCGGACUUUGAUAAUUAGACGAUACUCAUCUCUUGGGGUAUCGGUCAAUCUAUAUAUUUUUCUCUCGAAUUCUGUAAAUGUAAUAUCCACUGGGAUACACACUUAAUUUCUUACGACCGCCAACGUACUGUGGAUUGCUAUCUUGAGUGAAUAGUUCUCCAUUCCAAUGAACAAUAAUAGCCACAUUACUACGCGCCAUCCUAAUUUUUACAAAAUAUAAUAUUUAUAAACUAACAUAAUCGUAGCAAUAUUUGACCAAUUUAUAAUAUCAAUUUGCAAAUGACAUGUGUUCACUACAUCAGAAAAUAAUAAAUUUAUAAUAUUGUAAUAAUUUUAAAAAAAAAUUAUUAAUUUUUAGUAUAAAUUUAUCAAUUUUCAGUAUAUAUGUAUUUACUACACUCAUUUUUCAAAUUUCAUCAUACGAUGAUGCAAAUGUAAGGAAAUUUUUAAAAUAAUAUAUUUUGUUUAUUAAUUUUUAGUGAAUGGAUGCAACCCUUAGUGAGUGGAUGCAACUCUAAUCAAAGGGUGUAACUCUCAGAGUUAAAGGAUGUGACUUUUAGUGAAAGGAUAUGACAUGAAAAGACACAUCUUUAUCGUGUGUCUCUUCGAGUAUAUGUCCGUUGGAAUUAAUUCUUACAUUUAUUGAACUUGACUCAUAUAACUAAUUGGUAGUUAUGGUCAAAUGAAAAGUCACAAUUGAAAGAUCACUUCACGAAAUACCCGUUCAUGAAUAGUCACUUCAUGAAGCACCCGUUCGUGGUCUAUAUAAGUCCACAGCGUUGGUUGCAGAAACGAAAGUAGAAAAAAAAAGGAACAGUUGAAGAGUUUUAAGUCUCCAUUCAUAAUAAUUCCAUUCUUGUUUUCUUAUUCUUUUUGACAACUUAAUCGAGUAAGUGCUCAAAGGCUCGACUUCGUGUGUGCAAACGCAGUUGAGGUUUAUGCUUCAUUGUAUCUUGGGAGGCUGUUCGUUGACCCGGUGCACACCAAAUUGUUAGAACAGUAGUGACGGAUUAAGCCUUAAGGAAAGUGGCAUUGCUACACGCCUUGAAGCCUUUUUUCAUCUUUCUGUUUCAUACCUUUUUCACUAUCUGCUCUUAAAUCCGAAAAUGUCGACUGCUACUCAACGAGAGAUGACAACAAACUUUAUAAGACUAGAAAGAUUUGAUGGCAUGGACUUCAGGCGCUGGCAGAAGAAAUUAUUUUUCCUUCUGUCGACUCUCAAAGUUGCUUAUAUCCUCACUACUCCAAGACCAGAAGAAAACGAUGAUGAACCUAUUGCACAAACUUGUACAAGACAAAAAUGGGAUGAAGAUGACAAUAUAUGCCGAGGCAACAUUGUAAAUGCUAUGUCGGAUGCGCUUUUUGACGUCUAUCAAAAUAUGAAAAUGGCUAAAGAACUGUGGGAAGGUCUUGAAGAAAAAUACAAAUCCGUGGAUGCCACAAGUAAGAAGUUUCUUGUUAGCAAAUUUAAUAACUAUAAAAUGGUUGAUAGUAGAUAUGUUCUUGAUCAAUUACAUGAAAUUCAACAUAUUCUCAAUCAACUUACUCAACAUAAUAUGAAUAUGGAUGAAUCUAUAAUUGUGGCCUCUAUUAUCGAUAAACUUCCUCCAUCAUGGAAAGACUUUAAGAAAAGUCUUAAGCAUAAAAAGGAAGAGAUUACUCUUAAAGAUUUGGCUAACCAUCUUCGCAUAGAAGAAUAUCGUUUGCAUGAUGGCAAAAAGGAGCAAGAUGCUCGGAGUGUCAAAGUGUAUGUGACGGAAGAUGAGUAUAAUAAAACCCGUCAACCCAUAAAAGAAAAUCGAAAGAGAGCCAAACAUCCGAUCAACCACAACAUGACAAAUAAGAAAAAGAAAGAUGCAUGCUUUCAUUGUGGUAAACCGGGUCACUACAAGAAAGAAUGUCGGUUCCUCGAAAGGGAAAGUGCACCGGAUUCCAAAAGGAAUUUUGUGGCUAUGAUAUCCGAGGCUAACAUACUCGAAGAUGACGGAGUUUGGUGGAUUGAUUCAGGUUCCACAAGACGUGUGCAAGGAUAGAAGUUUAUUUAGAACUUAUGAUGCAUUGGAGGAUGGAAAUGUUCUCUAUGUGGGCAAUUCUUCAACAGCACAAAUCAAAGUAAAGAACACUCCAAUGAGAAAACUGAUGUUGUAAUUGAAACCCCAAAACUUAGAAGAAGUAAAAGAGUUAGAAUUGCUAAAACAUUUGGACCGGAUUUUUAUACUUUUCUUGUUGAGGGUAGUAGAGAAAUGAUUACAGAAAGUUUUCAAUUUUGUUUAAACAUUGACUCAGACCCCUAAACAUUGACUCAGACCCCACAACAUUUGAGGAGGCAAUGAAAUCUCCUGAUGUCACUUUUUGGAAAGAAGCGAUAAAUGAUGAAAUGGACUCAAUUAUGGCCAACCAAACAUGAAAAUUAGUUGAUCUUCCUCAUGGAUGUAAACCUAUUGGGUGUAAAUGGAUUUUCAAAAAAAAAUCAACGUAAAUGGCACCAUAGAUAAAUUCAAGGCAAGACUUGCUGCCAAAGGGUUUACACAAAAAGAAGGCAUUGAUUAUUUUGAUACCUAUGCACCUGUUGCCAGAUUAGCGACCAUUAGAACUUUGAUUGCUCUUGCUUCUAUGUAUAAUUUGAUUAUUCAUCAAAUUGAUGUCAAAGCUGCAUUCUUAAAUGGAGAAUUAGAUGAAAAGUUUAUAUGGAACAGCCCGAGGGCUUUGUUGUUCUUGGACAAGAGCAUAAAGUGUGUAAACUUGUCAUGUCAUUGUAUGGGCUUAAACAAGCACCUAAACAAUGGCAUCAAAAAUUUGAUCAGAUUGUUCUUUCCAAUAGUUAUAAAAUUAAUCAAUCUGAUAAAUGUAUUUAUAGUAAAUUUUCAAAUGGUAAAGGUGUUAUUAUAUGUCUAUAUGUUGAUGACAUGUUAAUUUUUGGCAUCGAUGUUCAGCAAGUAGAAAAUACUAAAAGUUUUUAAUCUUGCAAUUUUGAUAUGAAAGAUAUGGGGGAGGUUGAUAUUAUUUUGGGAAUUAAAAUUAUUCGUGAAAAUAAUGGUUUAUUUUUAACGCAGUCUUAUUAUAUCGAAAAGAUUCUUAGGAAAAAAUUAGUUAUUUUGACUGUACUCCAGUAUCUACUCCUUUUGAUCCUAAUCUAAAAUUAGUUCGCAAUACUGGUAGAUCAAUUAAUCAGUUAGAAUAUUCUAAGAUUAUUGGAAGUUUGAUGUAUGCCAUGUCUUGUACUAGGCCUGAUAUUGCAUUUGCUGUUGGUAAAUUAAGUAGAUUUAUUAGCAAUCCAGGUAAUGUACAUUGGCAUCCUAUUUACAGACUUUUGAAAUAUUUGAAAAAGACUAUGGAAUUUUCUAUAGUGGAUAUCCAACAGUAUUGGAAGGCUAUACAGAUGCCAGUUGGAUAACAAAUCAAGAAGAUCAUGCAUCCACAAGUGGGUAGAUAUUUAUAUUAGGUGGAGGUGCGAUUUCUUGGGGUUCUAAGAAACAAACAUGUAUAGCGGACUCUACCAUGGCAGCAGAAUUUAUAGCACUAGCGUCUGCUAGUAAGGAGGCGAAAUGGAUAAGGAAUUUAUUAUAUGAAAUUCUAGUUUGGCCAAAACCAAUGCCGCCGGUAUCGCUACAUUGCGAUCGUGAGGCUACGCUUUCGAGAGCAUAUAAUCAAACAUACAAUGGGAAGUCAAGACAUAUUGGAUUAAGACAUAGCUAUGUAAAACAACUGAUAUCAGAUGGCAUAAUUACCAUUGAUUUUGUAAGAUCAAACCAAAAUCUUGCGGAUCCGUUGACUAAGGGACUUCCAAGAGAAUUGAUAUUCAAGACAUCAAUGGGGAUGGAUCUCAAGCCCAUAUUACAAAGUCACCAAUGAUAGAAACUCGACUUAACACUUGAAACAUCAUCAAGUCUUAAGUUCAAUGAGCCAAAGUACAUCAUAUGGAGUGAUUGCAAGCACUAUAAUAUAAAAUUUCCAUCCCAAGUGCUUGGUAUCCGUAUUGAAAAGGGAAAGUUGAACUAAUAAAGUUCUUAAUAGACCUACAGUAGUAUUUACUGAAGUGUUAAAUACGGGACACUUCUGGUAGAGUCUACCUAUAUGAAUGUGAAGUGUGGCCGCUUCUAGGAGUUAAGGGCUUGACUCUAACAGCAUUCAUGAAACAGGAUGCGGACACAAGGCCAUAAAAGUGUCAGCAAUAAAAUAGAGCACUCGAUUGAUUAUAAAUUCCUAUGUGUGAGAUAUGUUCGGUUAGUCAAAAAAUAAUUGUUGGUUCAAAGCUUGUCUACCAUUCAAUUAUGUCUAACUUUGAUGAGUUUUCACUAAGUGUAGGUUCAAGUUUUAAUACAACUACACCUAUGCAUACGAUUUUGUCAAGUUGUCAAGAAUUUUGAUUUUUGAUUUUUGAUUUUUGAUUUUUGAUUUUGUUUUAUUUUGUAUUUUGAUGUAUUUUUAUGUAUUUUAAAAAUUGGUAGGGAAUUGUAAGGAAAUUUUUAAAAUAAUAUAUUUUUUUUAUUGAUUUUUAGUGAAUGGAUGCAACCCUUAGUGAGUGGAUGCAACUCUAAUCAAAGGAUGUGACUUUUAGUAAAAGGAUAUGACAUGAAAAGACACAUCUUUAUAGUGUGUCUCUUCGAGUAUAUGUCCGUUGGAAUUAAUUCUUACAUUCAUUGAACUUGACUCAUAUAACUAUUUGGUAGUUAUGGUCAAAUGAAAAGUCACAAUUGAAAGGUCACGUCACGAAAUACCCGUUCGUGGUCUAUAUAAGUCCACAGCGUUGGUUGCAGAAACGAAAGUAGAAAAAAAAAGAAACAGUUGAAGAGUUUAAAUCUCCAUUCAUAAUAAUUUCAUUCUUGUUUUCUUAUUCUUUUUGACAACUUAAUCAAGUGAGAGCUCAAAGGCUCGACUUCGUGUGUGCAAACGCAGUUGAAGUUUAUGCUUCAUUGUAUCCUGGGAGGCUGUUCGUUGACCCGGUGCACACCAAAUUGUUAGAACGGUAGGGAUGGAUUAAGCCUUAAGGAAAGUGGCAUUGCUACACGCCUUGAAGCCUUUUUUCAUCUUUCUAUUUCAUACCUUUUUCACUAUCUGCUCCAACAGCAAAUAGGGUUUAAAAUGUGACCUAAAGUGUGCAUGCUACCAAAUAUAGACAAAAUAUAACUGACAAAAUACAACAAGUUAUAUUGAAAGAACACAAUAAUCUACAAACAAUCAACUGUACUACAAAACCCACUACAACUUUUUUCAAAAAUCUAACCUCUAACCUAAUGAGGACAAUGUGGAUGCAAUGCUGAGGAGAGAGGGUGCGGUGGCGGCCUUGACGGUGGCAGCAGCAGCAGAGUCUUCGGUGCCGGCGACGGCGGCGUCGAAGUCGUCGGGUUCGGGCGGAGUGAGAGAGACAGAGAGGAAAUCGGGGAGAGGAGUAAGGGAGAAAGGAGAAGAGUUCGGGCGGAGUGAGGGAGACAGAGAGGAGAUCGGGGAGAGGAGUGAGGGAGAAAGGAGAAGGGUUCGGGCGGGGUCUAGGGUAUUCUAAUUAAAUGUGGUGAACUGUUCACUGCAUAUAAAAGCGGUAAACGGUUUACCGUAUUUAAAGACGAUGAAUGGUUCACCGCUUUUAAAUGCGGUGAAUAGUUAACCGUCUUUAAAAGUGGUAAACUGUUCACCACCUUUAAAGGAACGCGGUAAACCGUAUUCUUAAUUUUUCACACUAAUUCCCCACACCUGCCAGAGGCCCACAAAUGCGGUGAAUGGUUCACCGCAUAAGUAAAUGCGAUGAACCAUUCACCGCAUAUAAAGAUUUUACUCCGAGGAACUGACCUGGCCUAUUUGAGGCCUACUUUUACAAUAAAAUUUAGAGGACAAUUUUUAGAAAAAAAAUUUUAAGAUUAUUUAUAAAAAAAAUUCGUUUCUGCAACAUAGUACAUUUAUACUGUGCUAUUAAUAAGGUCACAUUUUCUAUUGAGACAUUAUUAUACUGCUGGAACGAAACAUCUAGUGAAUUAUUUAGUCUUCAAACAGAUAUCUGAUGUCACCAAUCUAGGAGAUGAUUACGAACCUAACUCUACAUGCAAAGAACUGCCUCAUGACAAUAUUAAGCGCAAUGAAAGCAAAGUGGAUGAUGAACAAAGAGGAGAAAUUUCAGAAUCCUUUGGAAUUGGAGGUUACGAAAGGAGGGACAACCUCUAAAGCCGAAAGCACCAAGGUGAAACACUAAAAAGAACGCAAAAACAUCACAAAUAUGGCCAUCUCCUUUAUCCAGUGUCCUACAUAGCAAAUUCCGAAAUUCCUCUUAUCUCCUCUUAUUUACUCGAGAACUAGUUGAUUGUUAAUAUACAUAAAAAGUUGUAUAAAACCAAAUAAAAAGGAAAAUGUAAUCUUAAUUUUUUAAGGUUAUGAUAAAUCAACUUGUAGGUAAAUAAACUACCUUAAGAAUUCACAACGACCAGCCAAACUAUGAACUUACAAUCACCCAAGAAAACCAUCAUCAAACAAAGGUGGUCUACAUACAACCUUUUGAGACAUCAGGUAGAUGUUUGCAUUAAAAAGUUUCCGAAAAGAAAAUAAGUUUUCUUAUCCGCUAUAACUUUCUCCUACUAGGCUUUUGUUAGGCUUCUCGCUAUAUUAGCAAGCAAAAUGAUAUCCUAAAUACUUUACCUUAAAUAAGGAAAAUCACAUAAAUAUGUUCCUCUCUAUAAACCAUAAAAGUAAAUUUGAAAUGUGUAAAAUUUCUAAUUUAAAAAUUUUUACAUUUCUAUUUUCCUGAUAUAAUUUGAAAUGUGUGCAGGCCACAGCCUCAGACGGAUUGAGUGAAGAGGCGGACUUUGCAAGUGAAAAGGAUGAAAACAUGUGCAAGAAAGAUGAUUGUGCUAGAGAGACCGCUCAAGAUUUUCUGGAGGAAACUACUCAUAGAGCUUGGAAGGGCGGAGAGGAAACAGAUGCAAAGAAUAUUGGAAGUGAAGACAAUGAUAGAGAUGUAAAAGGAAUCCCUGAUGUGGCACCUCAGGGAGAUUAUAAUACAAAGACACCAGAUAAUACAUACACAAAAGAAAUUAUGAUAGCAAUAGAACAAGAAGAUGAGGCAAGGACACAAGUGAGAUCAGACAAUGAGGAAACAGAAGGUGAAAAGGUAUCAACAUAUCAACUCUGCCCUUUUCAACUUUUGUAGUCUUUUUAAGCAUUUGCUAAUUACUAAACUGUUGACACGUGUAACGAAUUAGGACUGAAGAGGAAACUUGAGCAAUGAUUAUAUGAUUAUAUAGAUAUAAGCCAUAUCUGUUGUUUCCGUGAUACUGUAUUUUCUUUUGUGCUAGUUACCAUUAGCUUUAUUUUUUUAUCAAACCAUUUUAUUAACUUCUUACAAUUUCAUUUAAGCAGAUAUCUAGUGUCAAAGGUGACAGUGAACCCACAAAGGUGGAGAAUGAAUACAUAAGCAACACUGUUGGUGAUGCCUCUGAUACAGGAGAGCCAACUGGGAAGCCUGCAGACGUAGAUGAUGUGGUAGACGAUGUGCAGGAAGAAACCAUAGGAUCUACAUGUGACGAACAACAUCAGGAAAAUAUUGAGAGCAACGAAAAAAACGAGGAUGGUGAACAGAGAGAAGACAAACAUCAAACUCUUCAACAAGAGGAAUUAGUUUCUGAAGUUGAAAAUCAAGAGACAACCUCCACAACAGGCGCUAAAAAGAUGGAGAUCUCAAAAGAAGGCGAAAACCUCAUUAAUAUGGUAACCUGCUUUAUUCAAUUGCAUAGUAUGUUAAAUUCCUUGGGACCUUUCUGGAAGCUAAAAUAACUUACCCAGCAUAUCUUCUCUUACUGACUCGAGAACUAUUUAUUUCUUGAUUGUUAAGGAGAACAAAAUUAUGUCUAAACCGAAGAGCAAAAAAAGUAAGCAAACUUAUUUUUAAGGAUAUGAUAAAUCACCUUGUAGGUGAACUGGUGAAGCAUAUUAGUUUAUAUCAUCAUGGCGGAAAAUUGUCUAAAGUCAAAGUCUGUUCUCAUAAUCACUAAUUGUUACCUCCAUCCAAUACUAGUUAUCUACACAUACAUUAAGGGUUUGUAUAUUGCGCAGUUGUAGAGAUUUUUUACACUCCCUAUCAACCAUUACCACAUGCACCUUGAGCAAACAGAAAGUCAUCAGCUGAACAAGAUACUCGUGCGUCUAAGAUUCUAAAUAGGCCAUAUAGAUUUUGCAUUGAAAGACAAUACAAUAAUUCUAGCCUGUCAACUAUUUUUGAAACUUGUCUUUUAUUAAACCUCUAAUUUACCUACUGUGGGCAGAUUUCUGAAUCAGUAAAUCUGGAGGAAACUAAAAUUGAAAAUGACACGGAUGAUGAGAAGAUCAAGGAGAGCGUUGAAGAUAAUCCCCGAGAUCAUGCCUUGCUUUCACAAACAAGACAUGAUGUAGCAGACGAAGACCACACAAAAGCAGAUCAAAGUUUGGAAGGGAAGGACGGUAAUAUUGUAAGUCUUGAGAAAGAAAGUAUCAAAAGCAAGGGACCUGAUGAGGUUCACCCCAGUGAAUCAGAAGCACAUCAGCGUUUGGUGGACAAAGACAACAAUAUUGUAAGUCUUGAAAAAGAAAGCAUUGAAAGCAAAGGGCCUGAUGAGGUUCAACCCGGUGAAUCAGAAGCCACCAAGGUAGACUUUCUUUUGAAUUCUUCAAAACUUUAUGUAUUUAAUUUAACUAUUCAAUUUGCUUUCCUUAAACUCUCUGUUUUUCCAACAUGCCUCCUCAUCUCAAGUUUGACUUGUGAAAAUUUUGAUCAAGCAGGUUGCUGAAAUUGUUAGCACAACUGACGAAGCUGAAACUACGUCUGUAGAUGGAGGGGAAAGUGUUGAUGUUGACAAAGAUAAGGCAGAGUAUCAAGAGCACAAAAACGUUAUAGAGUCAGUGAUGGAGGAAUAUAAUAAAGGGGGAGCAAAUGAAACACAAAUGGCCAAGAGCCACCAGGUAAUAAUUGAUUCAAUGCCACGUAUGGUUUCGUACUAAGUCCAAAAUUCGUAUAUUUUACUGCAUGGCCAGAAGUAUAGAAACGAUUGAACUAAUAAUUCUUAGCUUCUCCUCUAAAACCCCCAUUUCUAUAUAACAUUAAUUGUUGUCCUAUCUUGAUCAGAUUCCUGAAAUGGAUGAUCUAAGCCCUGAAAAGGCUUCGGAGACAAAUGAAUCGGUGAUGAAAGAUAUGCAUGACAAAACUAAAACAAAGCAUGAAGAAGAGCCAGAUUUUGCAAGUAACAAGCCAAUUAAUCAGACUACCAUGCCUGAACAAAGUCGAAUUCCUGAAGAAGAAAAUACUAUCAUGGAAAGCAAAACAGAGUCAAGCUUCCCAAAGGAUGCAAUUGAAAAUGCCCUGAAAUCAGACCCUGAAGAGAAGGAUGAGGAAAUGCUAAAGAAUGACGAGUCCUCACAUAUUUUCCCAGAGUCCUCUCCCGACGCUGAUCAUAACAUUGCUGAGGGAUUAUGUCAUCAAGAUGAAGGGAACAAGAUAUAUGAGGAUGCAGCACCAGAAACUGCAUUCGGCAAUCAAAGCUGUGAAGCAAAUGAGGAGCAAAGAGAAACAGAGAAAAAAGAUAUGCCUAUGAAGUACAUUGACACUGUAAACAGUCAAGAAGAGACGAUACAUAAAGAAGAUUCUGAUAAUGUGGAAGAGAGCGAGAAGUGUGCAGGAGAGGAUGGAACCGCUUUAACACUUGAGCGAGCAUCUGCAGCAAAGGAUGAUGAACAAAGAGAAGAGAAAUUUCAAAAUCCUCAUGACAUAGAAUCAGAAAUGGACGUUAAGAAAGAAAAGACAACCUCUGAAGCAGAAAGCUCCAAGGUAGCGCACUUUUGGCAAAAACAUCACAAAUAUGUCCAUCUCCUUUAUCCAGUAUCCCACAUAUCAAAUUCCGAAAUUCCUAUUAUCUCCUCUUAUUUAUUCAAGAACUAUUAAGUUAGUUGAUUGUUAAUAUACAUAAAAAGGUGUAUAAAACCAAAUAAAAAGGAAAAUGGAAUCUUAAUUUUUUAAGGUUAUGAUAAAUCAACUUAUAGGUAAAUACACUACCUUAAAAAUUCACAACGACCAGCCAAACUAUGAACUUACAAUCACCCAAGAAAACCAUCAUCAAACAAAGGUGGUCUACAUACAACCUUUUGAGACAUCAGAUAGAUGUUUGCAUUAAAAAGUUUCAGCAAAGAAAAUAAGUUUUCUUAUCUGCUGUUACAUUCUCCUACUAGGCUUUUGUUAGGCUUCUAGCUAUAUUAGCCAGCAUAAUGAUAUCCUAAAUACCUUACCUUAAAUAAGUAAAAUCACAUAAAUAUGUUCCUCCCUAUAAACCUUAAAAGCAAAUUUGAAAUGUGUAAAAUUUCUAAUUUAAAAAUUUUUACAUUUCUAUUUUCCUGAUAUAAUUUGAAUGGUGUGCAGACCACAGCCUCAGACGGAUUGAGUGAAGAGGCGGACUUUGCAAGCGAAAAGGAUGAAAACAUGUGCAAGAAAGGUGAUUGUGCUAGAGAGACCGUUCAAGAUUUUUCGGAGGAAACUACUCAUAGAGCAGGGAAGGGCGGAGAGGAAACAGAUACAAAGAAUAUUGGAGGUGAAGACAAUGAUAGAGAUGUAAAAGGAAUCCCAGAUGUGGCACCUCAGGGAGAUUAUAAUACAAAGACACCAAAUAAUACAUACACAAAAGAAAUUAUGAUAGCAGUAGAACAAGAAGAUGAGGCGAGGACACAAGUGAGUUCAGAUAAUGAAAAAACAGAAGGUGAAAAGGUAUCAACAUAUCAACUCUGCCCUUUUCAACUUUUUUUAGCCUUUUUAAGCAUUUGCUAUUAACUAAACUGUUGAUACGUGUAAGGAAUUAGGGCUAAAGAGGAAACUUGAGCAACGAUUAUAUAAUUAUAUAGAUAUAAGUCAUAUAUGUUGUUUCCGUGAUAUCGUAUUUUCUUUUGUGCUUGCUAUCAUUAGCUUUAUUUUUUGAUCAAACCAUUUUAUUAACUUCUUACAAUUUCAUUUAAGCAGAUAUCCAGUGUCAAAGGUGACAGUGAACCCACAAAGGUGGAGGAUGAAUACAUAAGCAACACUGUUGUUGAUGCCUCUGAUACAGGAGAGCCAACUGGGAAGCCUGCAAACGUAGACGAUGUGGUAGAUGAUGUGCAGGAAGAAACCAUAGGAUCUAUAUGUGAAGAACAACAUCAGGAAAAUGUUGAGAGCAACGAAAAAAAUGAGGAAGGUGAACAGAGAGGAGAGGAACAUCAAACUCUUCAACAAGAGGAAUUAGUUUCUGAAGUUGAAAAUCAAGAGACAACCUCCACAACAGGAGCUAAAAAGAUGGAGAUCUCAAAAGAAGGCGAAAACCUCAUUAAUAUGGUAACCUGCUUUAUUCAAUUGCAUAGUAUGUUAAAUUCCUUGGGACCUAUCUGGAAGCUAAAAUAACUUACCCAGCAUAUCUCCUCUUACUGACUCGAGAACCAUUUAUUUCUUGAUUGUUAAGGAGCACAAAAUUAUGUCUAAACAAAGAGCAAAAAAAGUAAACAAACUUAUUUUUAAGGAUAUGAUAAAUCACCUUGUAGGUGAACUCGUGAAACAUACUAGUUUAUAUCACUAUAGCUUUUAGGGAAUUGUCUAAAGUCAAACUCUUUUCUCAUAAUCACAAAUUGUUACCUCCAUCCAAACUAGUUAUCUACAUAUACAUUAAGGGUCUGUACGUUGCGCAGUUGUAGAGAUUUUUUACACUCCCUAUCAACCAUUACCACAUGCACCUUGAGCAAACAGUAAGUCAUCUGCUAAACAAGAUACUCGUGCAUCUAAAUAGGCCAUAUAGCUUUUGCAUUGAAAGACAAUACAAUAAUUCUAGCCUGUCAACUAUUUUUGAAACUUGUAUUUUAUUAAACUUCUAAUUUACCAACUGUGGGCAGAUUUCUGAAUCAGUAAAUCUGGAGGAAACUAAAAUUGAAAAUGACACGGAUGACGAGAAGAUCAAGGAGAGCAUUGAAGAUAAUCCCCGAGAUCUUGCCUUGCCUUCACAAACAAUCCAUGAUGUAGCAGAUGAAGACCACGCAGAAGCAGUUCAAAGUUUGGAGGGGAAGGACGGCAAUAUUGCAAGUCUUGAGAAAGAAAGUAUCAAAAGCAAGGGACCUGAUGAGGUUCACCCCAGUGAAUCAGAAGCACAUCAAAGUUUGGAGGACAAAGACAACAAUAUUGUAAGUUUUGAAAAAGAAAGCAUUGAAAGCAAAGGUCCUGAUGAGAUUCAACUCAGUGAAUUAGAAGGCACCAAGGUAGACUUUCUUUUGAAUUCUUCAAAACUUUAUGUAUUUAAUUUAACUAUUCAAUUUGCUUUCCUUAAACUCACUGUUUUUCAAACAUGCCUCCUCAUCUCAAGUUUGACUUUGUGAAAAAUUUGAUCAAACAGGUUGCUGAAAUUGUUAGCACAACUGAUGAGGCUGAAACUACGUCUGUAGAUGGAGGGGAAAGUGUUGAUGUUGACAAAGAUAAGGCAGAGUAUCAAGAGCACAAAAACGUUAGAGAGUCAGUGAUGGAGGAAUAUAAUCAAGGGGAAGCAAAUGAAACACAAAUGGCCAAGAGCCACAAGGUAAUAAUUGAUUCAAUGCCACGUAUGGUUUCUUACUAAGUCCAAAAUUCGUAUAUUUUACUGCGUGGCCAGAAGUAUAGAAACGAUUGAACUAAUAAUUCUUAACUUCUCCUCUAAAACCCCUAUUUCAAUAUAACAUUAAUUGUUGUCCUAUCUUGAUCAGAUUCCUGAAAUGGAUGAUCUAAGCCCUGAAAAGGCUUCGGAGACAAAUGAAUCGGUGAUGAAAGAUAUGCAUGACAAAACUAAAACAAAGCAUGAAGAAGAGCCAGAUUUUGCAAGUAACAAGCCAAUUAAUCAGACUACCAUGCCUGAACAAAGUCGAAUUCCUGAAGAAGAAAAUACUAUCAUGGAAAGCAAAACAGAGUCAAGCUUCCCAAAGGAUGCAAUUGAAAAUGCCCUAAAAUCAGACCCUGAAGAGAAGGAUGAGGAAAUGCAAAAGAAUAAGGAGUCCUCACAUAUUUUCCUAGAGUCCUCUCCCGACACUGAUCAUAACAUCGCUGAGGGAUUAUGUCAUCUAGAUGAAGGGAACAAGACAUGUGAGGAUGCAGCACCAGAAACUGCAUCCGGCAAUCAAAGCUGUGAAGCAAAUGAGGAGCAAAGUGAAAUAGAGAAACAAGAUAUGCCUAUGAAGUACAUUGACACUGUAAAUAGUCAAGAAGAGACGAUACAUAAAGAAGAUUCUGAUAAUGUGGAAGAGAGCGAGAAGUGUGAAGGAAAGGAUGGAACCGCUUUAACACUUGAGCGAGCAUCUGCAGCAGAGGAUGAUGAAAAAAGAGAAGAGAAAUUUCAGAAUCCUCAUGACAUAGAAUCGGAAACGGACAUUAAGAAAGAAAAGACAACCUCUGAAGCAGAAAGCACCAAGGUAACGCACUCAAAAGAAGGCAAAAACAUCACGAAUAUGUCCAUCUCCUUUAUCCAGUAUCUCACAUAUCAAAUUCCGAAAUUCCUAUUAUCUCCUCUUAUUUAUUCAAGAACUAUUUAGUUGAUUGUUAAUAUACAUAAAAAGGUGUAUAAAACCAAAUAAAAAGGAAAAUGGAAUCUUAAUUUUUUAAGGUUAUGAUAAAUCAACUUGUAGGUAAAAAUACUACCAUAAAAAUUCAUGGUGACCAGCCAAACUAUGACCUUAUAAUCACUGAAGAGAACCAUCAUCAAACAAAGGUGGUCUACAUACAACCUUUUAAGACAUCAAAACAAAUUAUACAGCACUGACUUCUGUAGUAGCUAUUGCUAAACAAGAUAGACCGAAACAGGCCCAGAUAGAUGUUGCCUUAUAAACACUACUGUAAUAUAAACCCUGUAAACAAUUUGAGUUCUUUAUAUUUUAUUAAAGCAUCUAAUCUAUCAACUGUUAACAGGUUUCUGAACCAGUCAACGUGGACGAGGAUACUAAAAUUGCAAAUACGAUGGAUGAUGAGAGUGUAAAGGAAAUUGUUGAAGAUAACCCUGGAAACAAUGCAGUGCCUCCACAAACAGAACAUAAUGCAGUGGGCGAAAAGCCUCAAGAAACAGAGGAUAGCAGUAGUCCACAUCCUGAUAAAGAAAGUAGUGAAACACGGGGGCUUGACAUCACAGAAGAGCAGGUGGCUGAGGUCCAAACUGCUGAAGCAGAAGACAUAAAUGCUGGCUACAUAGAAGAUAAAGAUAAACCUGAGGUAGAAAUUUUUAUCAAAUUCUUGAUAUUUCAAAUAGCAUAUCUACAUAUAUAUAGCUGUACAGAUCUAUGAACGUACUUACCCUGAAAAAUCUGAACUUAAAUGUAUCCCCUUCAAAAUCUCGAUUUCUUAUAUAUAACCUUUGUACAUAAGAUCAUAAACAAAUGAACCUAUUUGAAAAUAUUUUCCUAAAGCACUACAAAUUUUCCUCAUGAAUUAAUAACUCGGCACCUCAAAAAAGGGUAUUUUUGAAACAAACUGCACUUUGCAGGGAUAUAUGAAAAUUCUGAUUUUACAGAUAUAUAUAUAUAUAUAUAUAUAUAUAUGCCAACGUCCAUUAUAAGGCGUAGAGCUAGAGUACUUCUAAAAGUGACAGGAGCCGUUUACUUCCACGUUAUUCCUAAUGACGGGGCUUUUGAAUCGACACUCGACACUGUUAAACUUGAUCUAGGCCAUUCGGACAUUUUACAAACCGAAUUUCAUGGUAUUUCAACAUCAUUUGCCUAGUUUUUUUUUAUUGGCCUCAAAAUUGGAAAUUUAUAGCAAAUAACAGAAGGUGAAUUUGGAAACCAUUUGAUUACCAGGUAAAGGUGUCAUGAAAUCUCAAAAUUCAAUUCCUAAGAUGGUCAAAUAAUCUAGACAUGUUUAUUGGUGUAGAAUGAUGAUUCGGAUACCCAAUCAUUGGAACUGACGCAAUAACAGUCCCGUUUACUUCUUAAAGUAUUAUAGCUUUACUCCGAUUUUAAGUAUGUGUAAUUUAACUAUUAUGUUGAAAUAAUGUGUACUUUCAAAUUAUUUUCAAGUCAAACACAACUACUAAUGAAAAAUUUAUUAAGAAGGUUCCUGAAAAUGCUGGCAUAAAUGAUGACUCUCAAACUGCAUCAAUGAAGGAAAGGGAAGACACACAGAUAGAUAACAGCAGUAUCAGUGAUGCACUUACUGAGAAGAGCAACGAGGUCCCAAGCUCUUUCUAUGACGAAAAAGCUCAUCAGGGUACGAGUACCAAAGAAGGCAAUGAAGUUGAUGUUAAUGAAGAUAAGACAGACUAUCAGGAGUAUAACAAUAUUUCGGAAUCAAUAGCUGAAGAACAGAAUCAAGAGAAAGAAAAUGAAACAGAGCUAACCAAGAACGUCGAGGUAACAAACAACAACAUAACAGUCAAAAGAUGGUUGCUUACCGUCCACAAUUUUUAAAUUUGGAAUUUUACAUAUGGAUAGCUACUAAAAUCAUCUAAUUUCAUCUAUACCAUAGUAAAAUCUGAACUUUCAAAUAUACUACAUGUAAGUAGAAAAUUUUGCAGGCUUGUAAAUGUACAUGUUUCUUCUGAAUUUCAUAACAGGAUAGAACGUAGAACCAGUGCAAUGAACCACUAUGUUUUUAUGUAAAAUUUCCAACUCAAUGGAGUUUUCAUUGUCUCUUCUCUCCCUGGAUCAGGUUUCUGAAAUGGGUGAUAUAACUGAGGACCCUGAAUCUGUAAAAACAAAGGAUGAGAAACUUACGCAAGAAAACAUAUGCGGUUUUUUGGAGACACAGGAUCUGGUAACAGAAGAAAUACAUGACAAAGUUGACAAAAAGCAUGAAGAAGUGCCCAAUUUCCCAUGCGAGAAUCAGGUUGAUCAGAUUAAUACAAUUGAAGAAAAUGUAGAUUAUGGCAGGAAUAAAGAAAAGUUAGCUGAAAAUGUUGAAGCUCAGAAAGAAUCAAUUAUUGUGCCUCAGGAAAAGAAUCAGAUUGUUGUGCCCGAGGAAAAGAGUCGAGACACAAUUAGUAAAGCGGAAACCAACAAGAUUGAGAAUGCAAAAGAGGAAAACACUAAUGGUGACGAGACAUCUGGAUCGAGCUUUGAAAAUAGUAUGACUGAAAACAACUCGGAAUUAGCCCUCAAAGCAGAAAAAGAAGAGGAAAUACCAAAGGAUGAGGAAAUCUCACAUAUUCUCCCAGAGACAGCUGAAGUCAUUCCUGAAAAACAAAUACUUGGGGAUGAUGGUAAUUAUGAGGAUCCUGGUUGCACUAUUGUUGAGAAAAUAUCUCAUCAAGACGAAAGUAGUACAUGGGAAGAUGCAGCUCCAGAAGCCGUAUUAGACAAUCAAAAUAAGGAAGCAAAAGAGAAUUUGAAAGAUACAACUAGAGAAGAAGACGUAAGUUCCAAAUAUACAGCCAAUAUCAGAUAAAAAUAGAAAAAAAAAAUCAUUAACUUUUAUUCCCUACCAUAUUUGAUAGCAUCUAACUAGAAGAUGUUUAUCAUAUAGGUUGAGACCGCUGCUGAGAACAUCAAAGAGAGAGAACCAGAAAGUACGGAGAACAUCGAAGAGAAAGAAGUGGAAACUGAGAUCCAAUCUUCAGAAACUAAUGAAAUAAAAGAUGCUACAUAUGAAAUUCCAAAAUGUGAAGAAAUUUGUACGCACGAUGAGGUCAUAGCAUAUCAGUCUAAUUCUAUUUAUGUAAUAAAGCUAAAGCAUAUUAUUUUACACCAUUAGAAUUUGUUAUUAACUUUUGUGCAGAGUACGAACAUAUCCCACCAGGAUGAAGAAAGUGAAAAUAAGAAUUAUAAGGAUGAGGGAAGCACAUUUCAAAAGAUUGAUAAUACACAUGUAACAACAUCAUUGGCUGAUGAAACAGCAUUAGAGUACUCGCAUGAAGAUCAAAAGGAGUUGGCAACUAUGGCUGACACAGAAAUGGGGAGCAUGCUACCAAGAAAUCAAAAGGUUGAGCACAUACAAACUCUCGUUCAUUUCUUAUCCUUUUCCUUGAUUCCUUCGUUAGGUAAGUCGCAACAUCAUCUUUUUCAUUUCUUAUCUUCUUUUUGGUUCAGGAUGACUCUGAAUUAACAACCUCCGAGGAACAAAUUUUGGAAGCUACAUCUGAGGUAGAGCCUGCUAAAGAUGAGAUGCCAGAUGAUCAAGUAAGUCAUACUCAAGGCAACAUUGCCCACAUUACAAUGAGAAUUUACAUACAAUUAGGCACGCACACAUGCAUGUACACACAAAGAAGGCAGCUGAAACGUAUAUGAGUAUAUGCAUCUGCAAAAUUAUAGCGAUAUAUGCACUCACGCACAAACAAAUCCCUGCAAAAUUUGAAUUUUCAUAUAUGCCCUUCACAAAAAUUAAAUAGUUGUGUAUCCCUUGUACUCACGUAAAUGCCCCCCUUAGGGGAAAAAAAUAAUGCACAACCAAAUUACCCUAAUAAUUAGAUGACUACCUAAAUACAGAUAAUGGUACUUUUCUGAGAAACUGCAUUAUCAAGGGCUAUGCAUGAAAAUUCAGAUUUUACAAGGUAGUAUAAGUUAAUAAAUGAUUUUGCAAUUUGUAGAGAUAUCAUGGAAAAAGGCCCUACGAAAACACUGUGCAACUGAUUAAAUGGUCGGAGUAGAGAGAGAGAGUCGAGUUAUGAAAUUGUUCAAACUUUAUUCCUUGCCAUUAUUAGCAUUACAAAAGGUUCCAUUUGAUCCCUCUGUUUGGGAUGAUAUAGUUUAAUUUAGUGCCAGAAUGAUAUCUCUGGCAAUUAUCUAUUGCAGAAUUACAAAUUAGGUAAUGAAGACUCUGAAGUCGAGAAUCCAGAGGAGGAAGAAACAACAAGUAAGAUUCAUCCUACAUUGCCUGAAGAGACCGAAGAAGGAACAGAAACAAAACAGGAAGCAAAUCCCAACCAUGAUGAAGAAACACAUGAACAUGUAAUUAAGAACAAUGUUGUUGAUCUUGAUACCCUAAUAAAUGGAAACAAGUCCGAGGAGCCAGCUGAAGCCUCUGCGGAUAUUUUAAAGGAACCGAGUAGAGCGAUAACCACUGAGACAGGAGUUAUUGCUGAGAAAGGCUUAAUGGAGGGUGACGUAACUACUUCCGAAGAAACUAAUAAAUUGGUCUCCGAAGAUCUUGACCCUCAAAACCAUGAAAAAGUAGAGCCACCACUAAUAAGAGCUCUAGAUGAACCAACUGUUGCAGUAACUACUUCUGAAGAAACUAAUAAAUUGGUCUCCGAAGAUCUUGAACCUCAAAAUGAGAAAGAAGUAGAGUCACCACAAACAAGAGAAAAUGCUUUAGAGGAACAAAUUGCAACACCAACCAACUUGGUUACUACUACAGAGCCAGUAUCAACUGCCAACGAAGACGAUGCUGUGUCAGAGGAAUCACUCAAAAGGGUCAACCAAGAGGUUAGUUUGUGGCAUGUGACAGAAGAAUUUAAACAUCUAACUGCCACCUCCUCCCUUAUGUUUGCAAUUAAGAGUUAAGUUGAUACCUUGUUUGUUAUGCAGGUCAAAGAUUUGAAUAUGGUGUCAGAUGAACAUAUUCAAGAAGCAGCUGAAACGAACCCAGAGGGCAUUCAACCAUUACAAGAUGAGAGUACUGCUGAAGAUGCCUCAUCAACCAAGGAGUUAAAGCAUGUAUUGGAGAUGAGUACCCCUGCAAUAGCUCCUGAAGACCAAAUCCAUCAAAUCAUGCAAGCUAGUGAAACAACAAAUGAAACUAUACUGGAGAAAGAAAACAAAGAAUACCAGGAGGUUGAGGGAAACUCAGAAGCAAAGGAAAUGGAUGGAUGGGAUCAACAGGGAAUUAAAAGAAAACAGUUAAUUGGAAAUGAGUGUGAACCAAUUAACACUGGCGAUUGCAGUAAGGAGAUUAAAGACAGUGGAGCAACACUUGGUGUCACACAAGACAACAGAAACAAAGAAGAAGUUCAUAAAAGUGUAGAAACAAAAGAGAUGGAAUGUGAGAAACAAGAGGAACAAACAGCAACUGAAGUCUUCGAAGUAAAUCAAGCAAUCUACAAAGAUGAGACCAGCAAGGAGGAAAGUGAUCCUAUUGGAGAUAGAAUAGGAACAAGCGCUCUGGAGUUUGAAGACAAAUCCUCUUAUCACCAUCAUGAGCCAAUGCAUGUCGAUGACACUAUAGCUGGCAUGGUCGCAAAAGAAGAGGUAAGGAAAGAAGAUAUAAAUUCCAAAUGUACAGCCAAUGUCCAAGAAAUAAAAUUUAAGAACUUUCAUUUCUUACCAUAUUUCAUAGUAUCUUACUCGAAGAUAUUUACCAUAUAGGUUGAGAAUGCUGCCGAGAACAUCAAAGAGAGAGAACUAGAAACUACAGACAACAUCAAAGAGAGAGAAGUGGAAACUGUUGAGAUCCAAACUUCAGAAACAAAUGAAAUAAAAGAUGCAGCAUAUGAAGUCCCGCAAUGUGACGAAAUUUGUACACACAAUGAGGUCAUAACAUAUCAAUCUAAUUCUAUUAUGUACUAAAGCUUAACCGUAUUAUUUUAUACGAAUAGAAUUUGUUAUUAACUUUUGUGCAGAGUACGAACAUAGCACAUCAGGAUGAAGGAAGUGAAACUGUGAAUAAUAAGGAUGAGGGAAGCACAUUUCAAAAGAUUGAUAAUACACAUAUAACAACAUCACUGGCUGACGAAGCGGCAUUAGAGUACUUGCAUGAAGACCAAAAGGAGUUACCAACUAUGGCUGACACAGCAAUAGAGAGCAGGCUAUCAAGAGAUCAAGAGGUUACAUAUAGAUAAAAUCUCAUUCCUUUUCUUAUCCUUUUCCUUGAUUCUUUCUUCAGGUAAUUUACAACAUCAUCUUUUAUGCUUCGUUUUCUUUCUUCUUUUUGGUUCAGAAUGACUCUGAAUUAACAACCACCAAGGAACAAACUUUGGAAGCUACAACUGAGGUAGAUACUACCAGAGAUGAGACGUCAGAGAAUCAAGUAAGUCAUACUAAGGGGCAGUAAUGGCCCUAUUACAAUGAAAAUUACAUACAUUAUGCAUGCACACACAAUGUACAUAGAAAGAAGGCAACUGAAAUGUAUAUUUGUACAUUCAUCCGCAAAGUUAUUGCAAAAUACACACUAACACUCAUACAUAUCCCUACAAAAUUCAAAUUGUCAUAUAUGCCCUACACAAGCUUAAAUAGUUGUAUCAAUACUUGUACUCAUGUAAAUGCCGCCCUUAGGAGAAAAUAAUAAUAAUAAUGCACAACCAACCUACCUUAUUAAUUAGAUGACUUCCUAACUACAGAAUGGUGCUUUUCUGAGAAACUGCAAUGUCAAGGAGUAUGAAUACAAAUUCAGACUUUACAAGGCAGUAUAUGUUAAUAGAUGAUUUUGCAAUUUGUAGAGAUAUAUUCAUGGAAGAUGUCCCUAUGAAAUCACUGUGCAACUGAUUAAAUGAGGAGAGAGAGAAAGAACAGAGUUAUGAAAUUGCUCAAACUUGUAUUUCUUGCCAUUAUUAGCAUUACAAAAGGCUCCACUUGAUCGCUCUGUUUGGGAUUGUACAGUUUACGUUAGUGCCUUAAUGAUAUUGCUGGUAAUUUUUCGUUGCAGAAUUACAAAUUAGCUAAUGAAGAGUCUGAAAUUGUGAAUCCGAAGGAGGAAGAAACGACAAGUAAGAUUCAAGUUGUUCUUGCCUUGCCCAAAGAGACCAAAGAAGGAUUAGAAAUAAAUCAUGAAGCAAAUCCUAACCAUGGUGAAGAAACUCAUGAACAUGUAAGUAAGAACAAUGCUAUUGAUCUUGAUACCCCGAUAGAUGGAAACAAGUCCGAGGAGCCAGCUGAAGCCUCUGCAGAAAUUAUGGAGGAACAGAGUAGAGCAAUAACCACUGAGACAGAAGUUGUUGCUGAGAAAGGCUCGAUGGAGGGUGAGGUAACCACUUUCGAAAAAAGUAAUAAAUUAGUCUCCGAAGAUACUGACCCUCAAAACAAUAAAGAAGUAGAGUCACCACUAAUAAGAAAAAGAGCUUCAGAUGAACCGAUUGUUGAAGUAUCUACUUCAGAAGAAGCUAAUAAAUUGGUCCCCGAAGAUCUUGACGCUCAAAUCGAUAAAGAAGUAGAGUCACCACAAAUAAGAGAAAAGGCAACAGAUGAACCAAUUGUGACACCAACCAACUUGGUUACUACUACAGAGCCAGCAUCAACUGCCAAGGAAGAUGAUGCAGCACAAGAGGAAUCACUCAAAAGCAUCGACCAAGAGGUAAGUUUGUGGCAUGUGAUAGAAAAAUUUACACUGAACAACUGGCUGCCACUUCCUUACAUUUGAGAUUAAGCGUUAAGCUGAUUGUUAAAUAUAACACUGAUACUUUGUUUGUUAUGCAGGUCAAAGAUUUUAAUUUGGUGUCAGAUGAACAUAUUCAAGAACAAGCUGAAACAAACUCAGAUGUUAUUCAACCGUUACAAGAUGCCGAAGAUGUGUCAUCAACCAAGGAGUUAAAGCAUGAAUUGGAGAUGAGUACCCCUGCAAUAGCUUCUGAAGACCAGAUCCAUCAAAUCAAGGAAGUUAGUGAAACAACAAAUGAAACUGUACUGGAGAAAGAAAACAAAGAAUACCAGCAGGUCGAGGGAGACUCGGAAGCAAAGAAAAUGGAUGGACAGGAUCAAGAGGAAAUUAACAGAAAACAGUUAAUUGGAAAAGAGUGGGAACCAGUUAACGCCAACGAGUGCAAUAUAGAGAUUGAAGAAGGCGAAGCAACACUUGGCAGCAUACGAGACAACAAAAGCAAAGAACAAGAAGUUCAUAAAAGUUCAGAAACAAAAGAGAUGGAAUAUGAGAAACAAGAGGAAGAGACAGCCACGGAAGUCAUUGAAGCAAAUCAAGCAACCUACAAAGAUGAGUCCAGCGUGGAGGAAAGCAAUGCUAUUGGAGAUAGAAUAGGAACAAGCGCUUCGGAGUAUCAAAACAAAUCUUCUAUGCACAAUAAUGAGCCAGUACAAGUUGACAAUACUGUUGCCGGUGUGGUCGCACAAAAAAAGGUAACCAUGGUAUAUUAUUGUUUCAGCUACUUGUAUGCUUCUACGUGUUCAGGUAUAUAUAUAUAUAUAUAUAUAUGUAUGUAUAUAUAUACAUAUAUAUGUAUACAUAUAUAUAUAUAUGUAUACAUAUAUAUACAUAUAUAUACAUACAUAUAUAUAUAUAUAUGUAUACAUAUAUAUACAUAUAUAUACAUACAUAUAUAUAUAUAUAUAUAUAUACAUAUAUAUAUAUAUAUACAUAUAUAUACAUAUAUAUAUAUAGGGGGAGAGGGGGAGAGGGGGAGAGAGAGAGAGAGAGUCCGGCUACAAUACUUUCGAAAGCAUAAGAGAGUUCGUACUUCCAACUUUUUGGCCCUUGGAUCAACAGUUUUGACCAUUUCUAACUUUUGGAUUAAUUUAUUAUUACCCUAGAGAGACCACUCAACCCUAGGGGUACCAAUUAACCCUAAGGGGAACCACUAUCAUCCCAAUCCUACAAUCCUUGAUCUACGGGGAAAAAUGUCGGAAGCACCAACUCCUUUAUGCUUUCGAUAGCAUAGUAGCUCUACACUAUAUAUAUAGAGAGAGAGAGACAGAGAGUAGGGCUACUAUACUCUUAUGAAUAUAAAGCCCUUCGUACUCGUAAGUUGUUUUCAAUUAUGAAGCUUCCGAAUCGACGAUACACACUGUUAAAUAUGAUUUAUAGUAUUUAAAACUUCUAGAAGUUGAAUUUUGUAAUUUUCUCGAAAUCAUAAUAAAAUCCAGCAAGCGGGUAUAAAAUAAACGGUCAAAAUCAAACGACGUCCGAGAAAUAGAUGAUCGGAUACUUCAAUUUAAGAUCAGAGUUAUUGAUUUUUAUCUAGAUAGUGAAUAGAUUUUUUUAUCAAAAAUUCAACCGAUUUUAAUUCUUUUACACUGUUAAACUAGUAAGUAUCCCAUACUGGUCGUUAAAAGUUAUCAAUUUUGGGAUCUUUUGAUCGUAAGGUAAAUGAUGUCAAAAAAUUAUGAAAUUUAAUACUCCAAAUUAUGUUUAACGGUAUGGACCAUUGAUUCGAAAGUUAAUCCUCUAAAUUAUGUUUAACUGCUCAACUCUAUUAACUGCACAUUCUUUCAUCCAAAAGCCGAAAACAUAAUAGCAAGUGGUUGGUACUAUUAAUAGUAUAGUAGACUAUAUAUAUAUAUAUCUAUAUAGUCCGGCUACUAUACUCUUAUGAGUACAAUCGUCCUCGUACUCAUAGUUUUGCCUGUUAGAUCUAUCCGUUGAUCAUUUCCAUCCGUUAGAUCAUACUAUUCAACCAACCACCCACUCAACCCUAGGGGACCACUAUCAUCCUAACACGCAUCACUUCAUCCAACGGCAGAAACUUAUGAGUACAAAAAGGCCAAUACUAAUAAGAGUGUAGUAGCCCUAAAGGGCCAAUACUAAUAGAGUUGUAGAUAUAUAUAUAUAUAUAUAUAUAUAUAUAUAUAUAUAUAUAAUAAGAGAGACGAAAGAGAGAGAGAGAGAGAGAGAGUUCCAGCUGAUAUACUAUCGGUAGCACGGAGACCUCCGUGCUACCAAGUUGUUUUCGAUGAUGCGGCUUUCAAAUCAACGAUCAGCUCCGUUAGACUUGAUCUACACUAUUGAAAUUAUUUGAAAACUAAAUUUUAUAAUUUUUAACAUCAUUUACCUAUCAAACGAGUAGUCUAAAAAUGAACGGCUGAAAUUAAAAAUCUCAUAAAAAAUAAUAAUAAAAGACUUGAAUUUAAAAUAGUAAAAAGAAUUUUCUAUAAAACUCAGACUUGAAUUUAAAAUAGUAAAAAGAAUUUUCCAUAAAACUCAGAGGCUUGAAUUAAAAAUCAGAGGUACUAAUCUUACUCUAAAUAGUAAAAAGAAUUUUCUAUAAAACUUUCAUCGGAUUUGGAUUGUUUUACACCGUUAAAUUCACAAACGUAUCACAUCGGCCAUUAAAAUUAUCAUUUUUGAGACCUUUUGAUCACUAGUCAAAUAAUGUUGAAAAAUUAUGAAAUUUAGUUUCCAAAUAUUUUCAAUAGUAUAGAUCAAGUCUAACAAAACCGAUCAUUGAUUUGAAAGCCCCAUCAUCAAAAAUAACUUGCUAGCACGGAAGCCUUCGUACUACCGAUAAUAUAACAGCCUAGCUCUCUCUCUCUCUCUCUCUCUCUCUCUCUCUCUCUAUAUAUAUAUAUAUAUAUAUAGGCUGGGGCUACUACACUCAUAUGAGUAUAGAGCCUUUUGUACUCAUAACCUUUCAGCCGUUCGGAUGAAAAAAUGUGCGAUUAGGAUGAGAGUGGUUACGGUUAGGUUGAUAGUGGGCCCCCUAGGGUUGAGUGGGUGGUUGAUUGAAUAGUAUAAUCUAACGGGUAAAAAUGAUUAAAGGGUAGAUCAAACGGCCAAAAACUUAUGACUACAAGAGGCUCUAUACUCAUAAGAGUAUAGUAGCCGGACUAUAUAUAUAUAUAUAUAGAGUUUUACUAGAAUACUAUCAGUAGUAAACGAGUCGUUUUACUACCUAUUUGUUUUCGAUGAUAGAGCUUCCAAAUUGACGAUCGGCUCCGUUGAACAUGAUCUAUACCACUUGAAGUGUUUAGAAAUCAAAUUUCAAAUCUUUUCGACAUCAUUUGCCUAAUGAUCAAAGGGUUUCAAAAUUUGUAAUUUUAAUGGUCGAUAAGAGGCGUUUUCUCGUUUAACAGCGUAAAGAUAUCCAAAUCAAUUGAAUUUUUGUUAGAAAAUUCUUUAAACUAUUUAAAACAAGAUCUAUACUCUUGAUCUUGAUUACAAGGCUCCUAUCAUCAUUUUUUAAAGAAUAUUCAUUUUCAGCCAUUUAUUUUUCUGUUCACUUGAUGGAUAAAAGAACAAUAUCGAAAGUGCGUGAAAUUUGAUUUCUAGGUAGUUUAAAUGGUUUAGAUCAUAUUUAACGGAGCCGAUCGUCAAUUUGGAAGCUCUAUCAUCGAAAACAAAUCGGUAGUAAAACGGCUCGUUUACUAUCGAUAGUAUUCUAGCUCAACACUAUAUAUAUAUAUAUAACUGCUAGAAUACUUCUAAAAGAACUAAGGGGUUGGUACUUUUAAGUUUGUAGCCCUUAGAUGAAGGUGUUGUAAAGCUAGGAUGAUACUAGCCCACUUGGGUUUAGUGGUGGUAAGUGGAAUAAUAUUUGAUCCAAAGGCUACUAAUAGUUAUGGGGUAGAUCUAAGGGCUAGAAACCUAAAAGCACCAAUGAGUUGGUGCUUUUAAUGUAUUCUAGCUCAACUCUAUAUAUAUAUAAUUUAGAGUAGGGUUGCUGUGCUCUUAGGAGUGCAGAAGCCUCUAUGCUCGUAAGCUGUUUUCGAUGAUAGAAUUUUGAAUCGACGAUCGGCUCUAUUAGACUUGAUCUCUAAUUUUAAAUUCAAGUCUUUUAUCAUCAUUUUUUAUGAGAUUUUUAUUUUCAGCUGUUUAUUUUUAUACUACUCGUUUGAUAGAUAAAUGAUUUCCAAAAAUUAUAAAAUUUAAUUUUCAAAUACUUUCAAUAGUAUAGAUCAAGUCUAACAGAGCCGAUCGUUGAUUUGCAAGCCGUAUCAUCGAAAACAACUUGGUAGCACGGAGGCUUCCGUACUACCGAUAGUAUACCAGCCGGACUCUAUAUAUAUAUUGCAAAAUCAUAUUAUUGCAUAUGUGCACAUGUAAAAUCGACUCUCUCAAAUAUACUCGUCAAAAAUGUAGUUUCUUACAAAAGUACCUUUCAUAUUUUUCAAUGUCCAAAAUCAGUGGGAAGUUGAUUGAAUAUCAGAACAAGUUUUAAAGGGGUACAAUUUGAUACGAGGGAUAUGUAAAAUUAAGUUUUUGAAGGGCAUACGUGAAUAUUUUACAAUUCAAGAAAUAAAUACGUCAAUAGAUAAGUUUGCAGGCUUCAGGAAUAAUACAUAAAUGUGUUUGCAAUCUACUGUCUUUUGGCAACCUCUUCAUUUUCUGACCAUGCUUCGUUGAAGUUCAACUAAAUGAGUUUUAUAAAAUCAGAUUGUAAAAGCGGAGAAUGAAAUAUUUGAGCAUGAGAAUCAAUCCAAGAACAAGGAACCAGAUGAAGAAUUGAAGCCUAAAGAAACUGAUGCGACACUGAAUGAAAAUCCAACUGACAAGGUCAGGUUACAGUGAAUUAACUAAGACAAUUUUCCUUUCAUUCUCCUACUAUUUCCUUUCUUGCAUCUGACAGUAUAAUCUGACAAGGUCAGUGAAUUAACUAAGACAAUUGUCAGUAUAAUCUGACAAGGUCAGAUUAUACUGACAAGGUCAGAUUACAGUGAAUUAACUAAGACAAUUUUCCUUUCAUUCUCCUACUAUUUCCUUUCUUGCAUCCUUUUGCUAAAUAACAUAAAUUACUUUUUCAAUAUUCAGGUUAAUGAAGCUGAUGCUACACUGGCAGAAAAGAAUAUCAUAACGGAUGAGAAAACAAAGGAAGAAAUUAAGACCAGAGCAAUGAAUAAUGAUUUUGCCAGCAAAGAGAUCGAAACUUCUUCUGAAUACAUUUCCACUAAUUGGGAAACUGUCUCUGAGGCACUCAAAGCAAAUAUAAUGACAUUGGAUGAUAAUAAAAAAGAUAAAGAUGUUACUGAUAAAAUUGUCCAUAACUUGGGGAUCGAGAAAGAGGACACUUCAUUGGUUGUGCUCAGUAAGAACGAAAUUCCAGAAAAAUUAUCAACUAAUGAAGCAAUUGAUGAUAUACAAAACGAGAAGGAAAGUUUCCCAGUGGUUGACACUGCACAAAAUGAGGAUAAGCAACAAACUGAACAAGAUGUCUUGCCUGUGUCCCGUUAUCUGAUGGAUCGCAUCUUGCAAGAACAAAGUGGUAAUAAUGAUGAAACUUUGGAAGUGGAAUCCGAAGAAAUGACACAGGGAAAAACUAUUGCGCAAAUUGCAGAUGAUACAAUAAUUUCCAAAAGAGAAGUACAAGAUAUCAAAAGAGCCGAAGACCAUAUCAAUUUAGUGGAAGAACAUAUGCAUGAUCCUGAAAAGCCUAUCGAGAAAUCAUUGGAAAAUAAUGAUGGAAUCCAAGAUAACAAUCCUUGCAAUGCACCUCAGGUAGUAGCAGUGGAUGAAGAUGUAAAGGGAGAAGUUUCUAGAGGAAUGAUGUCAAGGGAAAAGGACCCGGAAAAAGAAGUUGAUGUAAAAGAGUUGAAAAGCAAGGAUUUGUUGCAAGAUGGCAAAAUUCCCAUAACUGGACCACAAGUGAUAGAAACUGCAAUGCCAAAAGCUUCCGAGGAGGAUGCUCCAAACGAAGGAGAAAAAUGUGAAGUAGAAAUGCUAAGUGACAUCCCAAAGAAUGACGAGGUUGCAAAUGAAACACCCAAGCAACAGACAUCUUCACUCUCUGAACCAGUUCAAGAUGCCAAAAGUCUGCUUCAAAGUGUUGAAAUUCCACAAGAAUCUCAUUGUCAUGAAGCUGAUUAUUCCACUAAAUUAUCAAAUGACAAAGAAAACAUGCCGGAAGAAGCAUCGGAAGCUCUACCAAAAAGUGUAGAAGUUGAUAAUGGAGAAGUAAAGAAAGGCCAAAUCUCCGAAAACAGCGUGCUUGAAGUUUUGAAAGUUGUGCCUGAAGGUCUAAAAGAUGAGAAUGGAGAAGAGAAUCAACACACAAUCACUGAAAGCCAAACAAUAAUGACGAAUGUUGACUUACCUGAGGAGCCAGAGGUAUCUGAUUCACAAAAUGUCCAAAAACCUGACACCAAAAUAGAAUCUGGCAAGGAAACUGUCAAACUAGAUGAAAAGUGUUCGGAAAACAUAAUCACAGCUAUAUGCACAGAAGAAAAGCAGAGUGAGAAGCUGGAAAAUGCAAUUACCAAGGAAGGAAAAAGUGACAGUGAUAAGAAAGACGAAAAGAAAGGAGGUGAUGAACACAAAUCAGAUGACUUUGGCCAUAGCACAUAUGUAAUAGUUGAGGAUUCCCGGAGGGUUGUGGUUGAGAAUGAAGAACCCAAGCAAGACAAAGUCCCUGAAGUCAACAUGCUUGAAGAUCUGGAAACCCUGCCAAAAGAUAAAAAUGUUGAGAAUGAAGAAGAGAACCGAGAAACAACCACUGAGAGCAAAACAAUGAUGACCAAAGUCAAUUUUCCUAAUGAGCCAGAAGUACCUGAUUCACAAAAGGUCCAGAAACUUGAUACAGAAAUGGAAUCUGCAAAGAAAAUAGUUGAACCAGAUGAAAAGUGCUCAGAGGUAGUAAACCUGACAACAUCCACUGAAGAAAAGCAAAGCGAGAAGGUGAUUAGUGCAACCAGUGAGGAAGAAAAAACAGAUGAUGAUGAUGAGAAAGAUGGAAGACAAGGAGAAGAUGAGCACAAAGCAGAGGAUCCUGGAAACAAUGCUGCAGUGAUAGUCGAAGCAAGAGAUGUAGAGUUGAAGCCAACACAUAAAAAAUCUCACAACAUCUUAUCAGGUGUUGGGUCAAAAGUCAAGCACUCACUCGCCAAAGUGAAGAAAGCCAUCACAGGUAAGUCUUCCCACCCAAAGACUGCCUCUCCAAGAUAAAAAGGGUGGAGUCUUUAACAAACAAUUCAUAUGCAUAAUAUAUUGCUAGAGGUUUCAACGUACCAGAAAGACAGUAUUGGAUGUUCACAAUGCAGUGCUUUUGUGUAUGUUAUUGUAUAGCUUAUUAUGCCACUUCAAGGUUUGUAAAUGUUGGUCAUGUGUUAUUUGCACUUUAUCUUCUGCAGCUUCCCUGUAAUUUAUGUUGUAGAGUUAGAGAAUAUAUAUUUUUCUGAAUAAGAUCUCCGUCUAGCAAUAAUGUAAUAACCCAGACUAGAUAAUUAUUUGUUUGGCACCUUUUUUCUAAAAUUUGGACCUUAUGUUUUUUGUAAUCGGAGAGUGGCUUGGUAGCAUUUUGUGCAAAUUUAACCCUAAUGAACCUAACUCCAUCUCUCUCUCUCUCUCUCUCUCUCUCUCUCUCUCUCCUGUGCGAUCUUGCUGAUCUCUCUCUAUACUUGUGAAUUUUUUAGUGAGUAAAAAAGAGAAAAAGGAUUGUAAUUGUGAGAUUUCUUGUAAGAAGAAGGGCACUUGAUGUAAAGGCUUGGAGCUUCCCCGCAAAAGCAUCAUCUAGUGGAGAUAGCAAUGAGACUGGAGUGAUGGAUAUGAAUGGUUGACUGGAAUGAUUUGGUAUAUGUUAAAUAUAAUAGAGCACUAAUGCGUCGGUACAAUUUGCGUGAUACCAUUGAUCCCAUUGUACUAAAUGAUGUUGAUGAUAGCAAUGAAUGGUUGCCUGGAGUGAUGGAUAGUGAUGGAGAGGGCGAUAAUGAGAAAGCACUUGCUUGGGAAGAUGAUACUUUGACAUGGGGUGAUGUGGCUAGAGCUGCUGGGGUUAACGAGCAUAGCCAUCAUACACGAUUUACAUUGUCAAUGAAAGGGCUUGAAAAAGGAAAAGGAAUUGAAAAGGAAAAGGAAAAAGAAAAAGGAAAGGGAAUUAAAAAAGGAAAGGAUAAGUUGCCGUCAUCUCGACUAUCUUUAUCCAUCGAUGAAGAGCCAAAUUGGGUUGAUUUUAAAUACAGAAGAAUAAGAGGAUAUUGGGAAUUAACAAUCUGACGAAGAAGAAGAAGAUUAUCGCGAUGCAAGCGAAGAGGACGAGGACGAGGACAAGGAUAAUGCUUGAAGAAUGACCAAAUAAAAACAUUGGCACCAUAAUCACUUUUAAGUUUUAAGUUAAAAGUUGAAAUAUAUUUUUUUUUGUUUGAGAACCUAUAUGCAUGUGUUUUCUUUACUUUUUGAUAGUUAUUUUAUUUUUGUAUUGUUAUUUUAGAGUUUUUUUAAUGUAGAACAUCAAAUUAAAUUAGGCUUAGUAAAUGUGCGCCUCGCCUUCUUAAGGUGUGCCUCGCAGUGCGCCUCGCGCCAAGGCUCCAGGAGAGUCUUGCGCCUUUUUGCGCCUCAUUUGCUUCAUUUCGCACCUCACAUUCCCACAACCGCCUCGCCGCAGCAACCGUCUGAUCGAGAUUGUUAUCCAAGCCUACUCGUGGAAACGAGUCGUCGUCAAAUCCUUCGAUUUCUCUAUUCUUUCUGCAACUAAUUCUAAACCCUAAUUUCCUAUCCUAAUUCCUAUUCUUUCUGCAACUAAUUCUAACCCCCCCCCCCCCAACCACCCCCUCUUAGGCUGCCAUUUCGACCCUCACAUUCCACCACGACCUGCCGUCGCCGCGGCAACCGUCUGAUUGAGAUUGUUAUCCAAGCCUACUCCAUGGAAACGAGUGGUCGUGCGUGAGCAAAGGUACCUCAUCCGAACCUAUUGUUAGAGUUAGUCUGCCAACGGCGCCGCUGCCGUCCAGCACCACCUUACACUCCCAGCUUUACCGUCGGAUUCUCCCCCGUCGUCAAAUCCUUCGAUUUCUCUAUUCUUUCUGCAACUAAUUCUAAACCCUAAUUUCCUAUUUUCCUAAUUCUUAUUCCAUCCCUUUUUAAACCCUAACCCUUACUCUCUUUUCCACUAUUUUAGAACGUGUAACGAAGCGGCUAAGACUCAACAAUGGAAAGAAGUUGAACCGACUCGCCCGCGUGCGUGCGAUGAAUCCACCCUAUGGAAACUCAAAGGUAUGAUCUUUCCCUAAACAAUCUCUUAUUUUUAAAUUUCGAAUUUUCAGAUAUAUCGUUUAUUUUUUUUAGUUUGAUUUCUAGGAAUCACUCGAUUCGUAUUUUUAAGCAAUUCUCGAAAACCUCUAAACUCCCUAAACCGCCCUGCUUCACCUCCAAGCCUAGUUGAAAAGUUGAUAAUGUUGAUGUUUCAAUGACCAUUGCCCUUACGAGGCUGAUCUAAAUCUUAAGGUUACAGACAUCACAUGCCCUUACAAAGCAAUCAAGAUAUAAUCAUAACGGUAACAUGUCAUAGAUACACUGUGUAUAGGAGUCAAACUAAGCAUGCUAGUUCACAGCUGAAACAUGACAAUUCAUCCUUAGUUAUCUUCAAUUAUAAUUUUACAACAAGCACAACGGCUAAACAAGAUAACAAAAGAAAGGCAUAGGAUAGAGCAAACCCAAGCAGAGCUAGACCAUUCCAGACUGAGGAGCCUCCUCAACGCACCUCAUGCGCAGUUCCUCGGUACCACGUAAUGUCCACUAUGCAUCCCCUACUCUUUGAUAUCCAUUAGGACCUAAGAGAAGGGUGAAUCAUUCAUAAGUUAAAACAUCACUUUCGACCUAACGUGGUCAUUACCGCACUAGAGUUCAAUUGCGACCAAUAUUACUUCAUCGAGCAAUUCAACUAAAUUUACGGAAACACCACAUUGAUUCUAGUUGAAUCGGUCUAUAGUCUCACAAUACACUAGAUACACUUAAAGGCGAGGUGAGAAAUACUCACAAAACUCAAACCCUAGCAUGAUCCUGCAAAACAUGCGUUUUACCAAAAACGCUGAUUUUGCUGCCAUGUCAUCUCACAGUUUCCACAAUACCUCCAAUACCCACCAAUUUUGGGGUUUUACUAAGAUUGACAUCAAAAUCCUAGAUUUUCCAACAUUUUCGAACAUCGGGCCCUUGGCUUCGACGAUACCUCAAAACAAGUUAAAACUGUCAGAACCACGAAAUCAACGACAUCUACUCAUAAAGAGUUAAGGCUUAGGUGCACUCACCAAUAAUUGCCCAACACAAGGGGUCGAUUUCACUACAUUCUUCAAAAGUCCAUCAUAACUCGAAGAUCGUGGUCGCAACUUCAUCGUAACAUCAAUCUUAGUUGUCGAGUCUCCUAUUCAUCAUUUCAACUAAUCUAAGUUGCCCCGGCAUUUCCUUGAUUGCAUCCACUACUGGGGCCUUUUAUGCGAUACACUCUCGCAUACCUGAUUGACAAGUCUGUCAACAUUUUCUUGUUCUACAUCGUUUUUCUCUUGCCUAAAGUUUCAGUUUCAAACAAAGGCUUAGGGUAUUAACGUCCACUGAAACAUGGUGAAAGACAUUAUUGUCAAAUGUCAAUCCACUAUCUGAUAAUUCUAAUGGUUUUGCAAUUUACUUCUCCCAUUCUUUAUCUGACAUCUUCUCGCGCCUACCAGUUGGUUCCUUGAUCGAAUCAUAAAGAUCUUUGCAAUAGAGGAGAUCUUCCAUGCGAGGCUUCCAGGUCGAGUAAUUUGUUGACGUCAACUUGAUAUAUAUUGCAAUUGGAAGAUUGAUCCUCCAUCUGGUAGCAUCUUCUCCAGUACUCUGGAUUUAAUGUAACCUGGCUCUAAUACCACUUGUUGGGAAAGAAUCCAAAUGAAUACUGAGAAAUAGUGGGCGCAAAUGCGCCAACAACAAUAAUGAGCAUAGAGAUAUCGUGCCAAUCACACAACCAAGAACACCAAAAUCUACGUCGUUCGGCCGAAACCUACAUUCACGGGAAACAGAGUAAGAAAAAGCUUCACUAUAAAAUAAUAUAGAGUACAAUGUCCUCUUCAACACUGCCAAAAAUAUCACCUUUAAUAUUGUGCAAUAAUAUUAUCGCAAGCUCCAUUUCUUAAGGAACUGCGGGCUUUAGACUGACAAAAAAAAAAAAAAAAAAAAAAAAAAAAAAAAAAAAGCAAAAAUAGAAUAGACAGGCCCUAGAACUUUGACUUCUUCACACCCAACCAUCUAGAAAUCAGCCUUGUCCGCUUAUAAAUGAAUAGACAGGCCUUAGAACUAAGCUCCUUCACACCCAACCAUCUAGAAACCAGCCAUCUAGAAAUCGCGCUCAAGUCCUCAUCACCAAUCACAAAGGGAAAAAAAACGUCUUAAAUCACAAAUAUCAGGUGCUCAUCACUAAUCACAGAGGGAAAAAUAACUUCUUAAACCACAAAUAUUUUUAGCAGGGCCUAGAAGCAAUUUGAUAGAACCGCAAGACAAGCAUAUUUCAUGUUUAAUAUCUUACACAAAAAGAAAAGGUUAAAUUACAAAAAGAAACGAACAAAUAUUUGUAGACAACAUGGUUUUUUUUAACAACAGCUUCCCUUCUCCCUCUUCAAACUUUUCAUAUCUUCUUCUGAGUAUGAAGGUAUCAGUUACUUCCUAAAAGAUCCAUUGUAAUUUUCUCUUCAUCACCAAUUUCAUCUACAACAGAUACUUAAACUGAACUACAGCACUUUGUGGGAGAGUUUUAUGUAAUUCAUGAGCCUCUUUAGAGCAUUACCACUAUCAAUCACUUCCCGUGCACGGUCUAGGGCCGAUGAAAUAUCCUCGGCCCCAGCACAACCCAACAAGUGGUCGACCAUCCCUGCAUUGAGAACGAUCCGGUCAUAUGCUGGCCCUUUCUCACCGCGGAGAGCUGCUAAACCCAGCUCUAUAUUUCUCAAAACCUGGUUCAGCCAUCAGUGGAUUAAGAUUCUUUCAUUAAAUGACUUUCAAGAGAUUCUCGGAAGAAGGUAGUAUAGUAGAAGACGAACAAUGUUUAAAAAACACAAGGCUUUUACAUGCAUGUAUGCAUCCAUGCAGAAUGAUCUCUUUACUUACAUAUAAAAUUUGACUAUUCAAUAUGAUCGUGCACCAUUUGAAAAGUAUAGUUUCUCACCGAAAAAAGAAAACCUUUAGUAAAGCAGCAGACUCAUCCAAUUCAUGGCAAAAAGUUGGUUUUGUAUUAAUGUAUUUCAAAGUGAAGCACUACAUAAGUAUUUUCAGAUAUAUAUAAGUAAUGAAUUAAGCAUUUGAACGGCUAUAUGAAAAUCACGAUUUUGCAGUGAUAUUACUUUAUUAAAUAAUUUUAUAGGUGUAUUAUAUAAUUAUCCCUAUAAGUUGUUUUAAUCACAUUCUGUAAUUGUUCUUGGCCAUUUAAUCCUUACUGAGCUUUUGAAGUUGGGAAAAUUGCCAAACCUUAUUAACGAAAUAAGCUGAUACCAUGAUGCCCCCAGACUAAGGCUUGGACUGAUAUUUAAGUGACAUCAACAUAGGGGUGAAAAUGAAUUGGACAUGGACGAAUAUUUUGAUGAGACCAUAUCUGCAUCCUUUUUUUCAGAUAUGAAUUCAGAUACAGAUGUGUCGAAUGCUAAAUUUUCGUUACCAUAUCCGCUAAAAAUGGAUACGGACACACUCGGAUAUUUCUUUAUAUUAAAAUAUGGAUCGGAUAUAUAUUCGGAUAUUUAUUCAAGUAACAAUAUACACUAAUAUGAAUAUAUAAAUAUGAACUAGCAUUAUUUACAUUCAUGUUCAAAUUUUUAUAUACCUAUAUUUGAUUGGAAUAAUAUCUAAGAUUUAACAAACACAAAUGCAAUUAAGUUUUAAUAUAAAAUGCAAAAUAAAAUAAACCAAGAACACAAAAAACCACUUCAUUUUCCCGCAACAUAAAUUAUCUCCCCACAAAAAAGCAAUUAAACUCCUUAUCUCCCCACAAGUAGCAAUUAAGCCACCUUUAUCUCCCAAAAAAAAGAAAACAAUUAGACCCAUCUUGUCUCCUCACAUAUAUUAGCAAUAAUUAGAACUUUUAUAUAUAUAUACAGAGAGAGAGAGAGAGAGCUAGGCUGGUAUACUAUCGGGAGCAGGGAGGCCUCCGUGCUACCAAGUUGUUUUCAAUGAUGCGGCUUCCAAAUCGACGAUCGGCUCCGUUAGACUUGAUCUACACUAUUGAAAGUAUUUGAAAACUAAAUUUCAUAAUUUUUCGGCAUCAUUUACCUAUCAAAUGAGUAGUCUAAAAAUGAACGGUUGAAAAUAAAAAUCUCAUAACAAAUGAUGAUAAAAGACUUGAAUUUAAGAUCAGAGAUACUGAUCUUCCUCUAAAUAGUGAAAAGAAUUUUCUAUAAAAAUUUCUUCAGAUUUGGAUUGGUUUACACCGUUAAUAUUCACAAAUGCAUAACAUCUACCAUUAAAAUUCUCAAUUUUGAGACCUUUUGAUCAAUAGCCAAAUGAUGUCACAAAAUUAUGAAAUUUAGUUUCCAAAUAUUUUUAAUAGUGUAGAUCAAGUCUAACAGAGCUGAUCGUCGACUUGGAAGCCACAUCAUUGAAAACAUCUUGGUACCACGGAGGCCUCCGUGCUACCGAUAGUAUACCAGCCAAGAAUUUAAGUACCGUGGCACGGGGUCGUGCCGGAAACUUGCCGGCACGGUGCGUGCCGAGCCGUGUCGAUGUGUGCCGGUCAAAAAAAUUCUUGUGUGCCGACACAUAAUAGCAUGAAAUAUUUAUUUUCUUUAGCAACAAAAUAUUCUAACUAUUUAUUAUGUCUUUUUAUCACAUCUUUUGAACUUUAUUGAGGAAAUUAUUUACUAAUUUAAAGAAUAGAGGGUUUUGAGCUGUGCCAUCGGCACAGAGUCUGUAUCGUGCCGGUAUCUUGUUGGCACGGUACGACACAGUGGAUACGGCCCGUACCGACGGGCAUUUAAAACCUUACUUGUAAGCUUUUUUGUAUGUAAAAUAUAAUUACACCUGAUGCAGAAUAAAAAUUUUUACAGGUUAGAAUUUUAAAAAUGUAAAGAUAUCUUUCUUUCUUUCUUUUAACUAUAUUACAUUUUUUUAUAAAAUACAAAAAAAAUAAUUUUUAAAAUUUUUUGAAAAAAUUAUUUUAAAAAGUAUUAAAAAAUUAUUUUUUAUUAAUUUUUAAAAAAACUUCUUAGAUCUAUCAAAAAAAUUAAGCAAUAAAUUAUAUGACAAAUAAAUAAAAUAAAUUUAAGCAUCAAUUGUUUUAAUUUAGUUUUUAAUUUUAUCAAUAUUUUUAAUUUUCCAAUGCAAAAAUAAAUUUUUAUAUUUGAUGUGCCUGAAUAUUUGUUUAUUGAGUUCAAUUUUGUUUUAAUUCAACAAAAAAUUCGCGUUGCAACAAAUUUUGAUAAAAUAAUUUAUGAAAAGAAAUGGAUGUCUGUGGUAGAAGUGGAGGGCUCGGGCCGAUAAUGGGGGUGCGGGGGCCUUCAUCCCUUGCGGUAUGAAUCGGAUAUGUAAAUGAAAAUUUGCCCGUAUAUUGAUAAACAGAAAAAUUAAAUUAUAAUUUUUUUGAGUUACCUAAUAAGUAAAUCUUCGAUUUGCAAUGAACUUGGGGGGUGUGGGAUGCUUCGUGGUAUCCCAGAGAACAAAAUAAAAAGAAAAAAAAGCAAAAAGCAAAAAAAAAUAGUGUCGGCACGGCACAGUAACGUGGCACCAAGGUUUAAAGUGUCGCCUCGUGCCGUACAGCACGGGGCAGCACGUAUGGUACAGGGAAGGUCUCGGGCCCCUCUCCGUGCUGUGGCACAGACCUACAUAUCCCGCGAGACAGAGCGAUACACAGGUCCGUGCCACGGUACUAUGCUGUGCCGGCACAUUAUUUUUUUUUGUUUUUUGCUUUUUUUCUCUUUUUGUUUUGUUCUGUGAGAUACCACGAAGCAUCCCACACCCUCCAAAGAUAUUGCAAAUCGAAAAUCUACUUAUUAGAUAAGUCAAAAAAUUAUAAUUUAACUUUUUUCUUUAUCAAUAUACUGGCAAAUUUUAAUUUACAUAUUCGAUCCAUACUGCAAUGGGCGAAGCCCCCCGCACCCGCUUUAUCAGCCCGAACCCUUCGCUUCUACCACAAACAUCCAUUUUUUUCAUAAAUUAUUCGAUCAAAAUUUGUCGCAUUGCGAAAUUUUUGGCGAAUUAAAGAAACAAAAUCGAACUCAAUAAACAAAUUUUGAGGCACAUCAAACAUAAAAAUUUAUAUUUGCAUUAGAAGAUUAAAAAUACUGAUAACACUAAAAGCUAAAUUAAAUCAAUUGAUACUUAAAUUUAUUUAAUUUAUUUGUCAUAUAAUUUAUUGCUUAAUUUUUUUGAUAGAUCUAAUAAUUUUUUGAAAAAAUUAAUUAAAAAAUAAUUUUUUUAAAUACUUUUUAAAAUAAUGUUUUUGUAUUUUAUAAAAGAAAGACUGUAAUAUGGUCAACAGAGAAAAAGAAAAAAAAGAUGUCAUUGCAUUUUAAAAAUUCUAACCUGUAAAAAUUUCUAUUCUGCAUUAGAUGUAGUUGUACUUUACAUACAAAAAAACUUAUAAGUAUGUUAAUUGAUGAGUAUAGUAAGUUAUACAUAGCAAAUAUUCAUAAUUAUUUCAUUAAAUCUUUCAAAAUAACAUUAUAAGAGCUUAUUAGAACUAAAAAAACUAACAUAAGUUUGUGCCAAAGCGUACUAGUAGGAGGUCAUACGUAUCCAUCGGCACGCAAAUGUACUAUGUUGGCACGGAAGCGUGCCGGUGCCGUACCGUGCCAGGCAGACAACGACACACCCCCGUGCCACAACACUUUAAACUUUGCUUACAAGUAUGUUAAUUAACGAGUAUAGUAAGUUAUACAUAGAAAAUAUUCAUAAUUAUUUGAUUAAAUCUUUUAAAAUAACAUUAUAAGAGCUUAUUGGAAUCCAAAAAUCUGAAAUAAGUCCGUACCAAAGCGUGCCAGUAGAAAGUCAUACGUAUCCAUCAGCACGCAUGCAUAUCAUGUGUCGGCACGAAGGCGUACUGAUGCCGUACCGUGCCAGGCAGACAACGGCACACCCCAUACCACGGCACUUUAAACCUUGCCUACUGGUACGUUUUGGUACAAACUUAUUUUAGUUUUUUUUUGUUUCAAUAAGAUCUUAUAAUGUUAUAUUGAAAAGAUUUAAUCAUAUAAUUAUAAAUAUUUGGCAUCUAUAGCAUACUAUACUCAUCAAUUAACAUACUUGUAAGCUUUUUUGUAUGUAAAGUACAACUAUGCCUGAUGCAGAAUAAAAAUUUUUACAGGUUAAAAUUUUUAAAAUGCAAAGACAUCUUUCUUUCCUUUUUCUUUCUUUUGACCAUAUUACAGUCUUUCUUUUAUAAAAUACAAAAAAAAUAAUUUUAAAAAUUAUUUUAAAAAUUAUUUGAAAAAAUUUAUUUUUUUAUUAAUUUUUUCAAAAAAUUAGUAGAUCUAUCAAAAAAAUUAAGCAAUAAAUUAUAUGACAAAUAAAUUAAAUAAAUUGAAGUAUCAAUUAAUUUAAUUUAACUUUUAAUUUUAUCAGUAUUUUCAAUCUUCUAACGCAAAAAUAAAAUUUUAUAUUUGAUGUGCCUCAAAAUUUGUUUAUUGAGUUCAAUUUUGUUUUCCUAAUUCGCCAAAAGUUUCGCAGUGCGACAAAUUUUGAUGAAAUAAUUUGUGAAGAAAAAAUGGAUGUCUAUGAAGAAAAUAAUGUGAUAAAAAUUUGCCCAUAUAUUGAUAAACGAAAAAAAUUAAAUUAUAAUUUUUUUGACUUACCUAACAAGCAGAUCUUUAGUUUGCAGUGUCUUUGGGGGGGUGUGGGGUAUCCAAAAUGCUUCGAAUACCGCAAAGAACAAAACGAAAAGCAAAAAAAAAAGCAAAAAAGCAAAAAAAAACACACACACACACACACACACACACACACACUGCCGACACGGCACAGUGCUGCGUAUCGUGCUGUCUCACGCGAUACACACACUGUGCCGCAGCACGGAAGGGGGUCCGAGACCCCCACUGUACCGUGCCCCCUUACGUGCCGCCCUGUGCUGUACGGCAUAAGGCGGCACUUUAAUCCUUGAUUUUGACUCUCUAAAACCAUAUUCAUAUACAUAUCUGGCCAGAUCCGAAUAUUUUCUAUCCAGAUGCAGAUAAUGUUAAAUAUAGAUAUGGAUAUUUUUGGAUAUAUCCUAUCCGUUUUCACCCCUACACCAACAAUAUUCAUCUAUUUGAAAGAAAAAGAAAAAAAAAAUCUCUCCUUAGCUUUGCAUCCUAAACUAUAAUUUCCUACACUUAUAAUUAGCUUUGGAGUAGUUUCUUACUCCAUAAAAACUUAUGGUAAGCAAAUGAUGUCAAAAUAGUUCUAUGAUCAUUACAAACAUGUAAAAAAAAAUUUGAAGAAGCAGCGGGAACAGAAACUCACUGAUCUAUCAGUUCGUGGAGUAUCUGUGGGUUUAAACCCGUAAUCCUCGGCAUUCACCACGAUACUAAAGGUUUCACGUGAGAUUCCUAGUAAGACACAGAAGAUAAGCAUUCAAGCUUCCGUUGAAAAUAAUUAUUUACAGAAUAUUAAAGAACUCUCAACUGAACAAUCCAUCAAUUGAAAUAAGAAAAAGGGAAUAGUACCCACACUCAGAUUAGUCAAAAGAAAAAAUUACAGUUCCAUACCAUCAAUAUCAGACAAAAUUGCAGAGCUUGGGGAGCGGAAACCUGAACAGUGAUUCACCGGAAGGCCCUUUGAUGCAUUAGCUGAUCUCGCCUUUGUGGUCAUAGAAAGUGCACCUUCCUCACCCUACAACAGCAGCAAAUGUAUUAUAAAAGGAGAUAUAAAAAAAGUUAUUUCAAACUGGAACUUGAAAAGGAAAAGUGGAUCACUAAAUCAAAUCCAAUGGAAUGUUUAUAAAUGAUAGUAGCAAAAACAUCUUGUUCUUCCAUAGAAACUAGAGAGACUAGAUAGUUAAGAACGAAACCCGAGUACUACAUUUAUCUCAUGGCCUUUUUUCCAGUUAUUCAAAUACUAAUUUAUGAUGCAUUAAAAAAGUGAAAUUAUUUGUCCACAAAACGAAAAAAGAUGUUCAGAGAAGCCAAAUAUACAGCGAUAUAGCCAUUCAACAAAGCAAUCAGAAUGCAAAAGCAACAGUUAUGAAACAAUUGAAGUUUUUAGUCUUUUACCAACCUUUACAACCAAACCAGAAUGAACACUUCUUCUUUUCAUAAGCAUUAGCAAUGAAUCUUCAUAACCGCCGUGAUAGAAUCCAGCAACAAUGGCUUCUCUCCCACGCGCCUUAACAAAGAAAUAUCACAAGUAAGAUUUCUACUUUCACCUUAUGUACUCUGUACUCAUUGAAAUCUUUUAUAACGGAACUGUAGUUUUCAUGUUUAAACUGUCCAGAAUCCCCUUUAAAACUACAAUAUAGCCCAAAACUCACAAUUUUUUUAACAAACAGCAGCUUCCAAAUCCAUCAAAUAAUUCAAAAUAAUUUGAAGAUGAUUAACAAUUAGGAAACAAUCAGAUAUCUUCAUAGUUGAUCCUACUGAUUUCACCAACUUGAUAAUAUAAGGAAAUCAAACAAAUGUUCAGCAUUCUGCAGCUCCAUAACAAAAGAUAAUUAUUGAAUCUUGCUAAGUGAAAACAUGAAGGUGAAAGCUUCUUAUACGUGUUAUUAGAGAAGUUAAAUGAUAGAGCAUGCAACAUUAAAUUUCAGUUUUCCAUAAAUGAAAACAAUGACUUCAGCACUACCAGUCAUAUGUUGAAAAGGUGACUAUCAAAUCAAUAUGAACUAAAAUAUCUCUUAAUAAAAUCAAUAUGAACUAAAAUUUUCAGUAAAAACUACAGUAAGUACAAAGAAAUUCUACCAUUGAAGAGUAUAUAUACCAUUGAAGAGUUCCAACUAGCAAAUGAAAUUUGUAGAACAUGGCAGAUGUCAUAAACAUGAAAACUGUAAAUAUCUCCAGUCUCAUUCCAGAGUGGGAAAUGCUAAUAAAUUUUAUUAACACUCAUUCCUACACAGAAACUCAAAUGAAAUUGGUUCGAAAAUAUAUCACAACUCACUCUAACAAACUGUUGAACUUUCUCAGAGGUUGCCAAGGGUGGACGUUUCUUUAUGUGCUCCCUAAGCCCAAUAAGUGAAUAUCUGCAAGGAAACCAUGAGUGAGAAUUCUUGCAUCUCAAAAUAAGUGCAAUAACACUAAGUACAUGACAUGAUAGGCAGAAAGCAGUAAACAUGUCCAAUCAUUGAAUUCUAUGCAGAAAGAGCACAUUGACGAUGCUGUAAAAGCCCGCAGAUAAUCUCCACACCUAUUGAAGCCCAUGUGUGAGGAGCAUCAUAUUGAAAGGCCUAAUAACAAGCACAAGUAACAAGAAGAAUGCUGUUCCUAGCUCACAUGACACCAGAGGCAUGCCAACUCAAGCUUAUAUAUGGAUGACGACGAUGACCUAAAAUUAUGUUUGAUAUUCUGGCGGAUAGUGAUUGGGUAGUCUAAAUGAGCCUCGGAAAGGGUAAGUCUAAAUGAGCCUCUGAAAGGGGCAUUGUUUGCGUUUGAAACUUGUUUGAUCCGUAAACAAAGUGGAAUGAACUGUCACUUGCAUGCCCCUAAUCAAACUAGAAAAAAGUUGCAUAAAUCCAAAAGAGUUCCAAGUACCAUAGAGUUAGUGGUACUGGCUAAAAGAACUCAAAUCGAAGCAGGAUACCAAAAUAGGAAUGUCAAUGGGUAUGGAUUCCCAAAGUUUUAUCCGAACCCAAACCCGAAUGGAGCGGAUUUACCCGAUACUAAAUGGAUAUAGUUUCGGAUGUGGAUAUCAAAAAUUAAAACCCGACGAAUUUGGAUUCGGGUAUGGAUUUUGACUGUACCCGACCCGAACCCGAACCUGAAUUGAUUUUACAUUAUAUAAUAUAUAAAUAUAUAAAUGUUUGAUGUUAUAUUUGAAUUUGUAUUUUAAAAAUUUAGAUUUUAUGUAAUAUAUUUUCAAAUAUUGUAAAAAGAAGCAUUUGUUUUGGGUUUGGGUUUGCGGGACCAGGUUCGGGUUCGGGUUUCAGGUUUGGUAGUCCAGUUCGAGUACGGGUUAUUAAAAACCCGCCAAGAAUCCGACCCGUUGACAUCCCUAUACCAAAAGAAAAUUGUAAAAUAGCUAGAAGAGGAUGCAAAAUGUUCAUAACAUGCACUUCACUAAUCUUGUGCAAGUAAAUCUUACUCUAUCAUAUUUCUAACUUAAUAUUCUCUAAUCUCUAAGUAUCUCAAUACCCAUGAUUUGAGAACCACUAAUAGUUAUGUACAAGUACAAAAAAUAAAAAAACAAUAUUCUGUAUGUGUCCAAGGUGUUUCAAUUUUGUUUUUCUUUCCCCUUUUUCUUUCUUAAAGCUUUUGAAAAUAUUCCAUUUAAGACUCCAAAAAAACCAGAAACAACAAAAAUAGAAAAUAGAACUCCAGAAAGUCAAUCAAACAAUAACAUAGUCAACAAACCUUACUAAGAAAUCAUCAACUAAAAAUUGCAAUUAAUAGCUGUAAUAAUGGAAUCAGAUUAGAACAGAGAAUUGGAUGGCCAAUGGGCCCUGUUUAGAUAGAAAGUUAAAAAAGUCAAUGGAGUUUAUUUUCUGUAGUUGACCUGGUUGCAUACAGGGAUUCCAUGAAAUUCUAUAGGAAUGCAUAGUCUACUUUUAUCUCUAAUUGAAUGCCAACUGCACAGUUCCAAAGCAAUUUUGUUAAAUUUGACAAAAUUACUAACAAAAAUUGUAAAUUUCUCAAACAAAUAGAGAUCAAAAUUAUAAACUAAACUACAUGAAAUUAAACUACAUCUAGACUCUUUUUGUUUCCAACCAAAACAUUACUAAUCAAAAUUACUAACUAAAAAUUAACAAAUGGAGAUCAAUUGCUAAUUAAAUUAAAUUAAAUAUACUCCAUUCCAUUAGUCAUAAAAAUUAACAAAUAAAAAUAAAAAAUUAACAAAUAUUACUAAAUAAAAUUAAUUAGUUCAAUUUGACUAGGCAGUGAAAGCGAUGGUGGGGACAGUGGAGGUGAAGUGGCUGUAGAGGGGGGUGGCAGCUGAGGAGGGGCCAGCAGAGGUGAAGGUAGCGGCAAGGCAGCGGAGAAGGAGGAAGCGGCAGCGGAUGAUGAGGAGGAGGCGGCGGCAGCAGGAGGUAGGGGAUGGAGAUUUUUUUUUUUUCAAAUUUGAGUGGAUUUUAACUGCAUUUUAUUUUUUGGCCCAUAGGUUAAUUAUACUCUAUUUUUUAGAUGUCCUUUGAAGCAUCCAAACACCUCAUGGUAAAAUUUUUCCAACUGUAUAGGAUAAUUAUACUAUACUUUGUUUAAUGGUGCAUCCAAACAGCACCUAAUGUUCAAAUGAAUAUAGUAUCCAAUACUCGGCACACCGAAACUUCAAUGGUAAUCCAUAAAACCUGAGCACUAUGUAACAAGUUCAACCAAACUGAUGGAACAAGCAUUAAAGAUUCAAAUCACAUCUCCUAUGAAGAUUCGAAAUCGGUGCAGCAUGACUGUAACAAAUUCCAUCAAAGGUCAUUUUUGCUUGACAUAACGUAGGAAACCUUAAUUCAUUCAUAUGGUACUGGUUAACUGACCAAUUAAAAGUUCACUGUUUUAGACAUUAAAUUAGUGAAGUUAUGGUUAAGAAAUGAAAGAUACGGAAUCUUGAAGUCAAUGGUUUUCUCACUGACAUUGACUAUAAAAUCUAUUAAUACAAGAAUGCAUAGUGCAGGAAACAGCAACAUGGAAAAUGGGAAAGAGAUUAUCUGUCCUUACAAGGAUGGGCGAGCUUCUUGCAAACUCACAUAAGAAAAGCCAACAUUUUCAUCCUGGAAAUUGUCAAAAGUUCAAUAGCACAAUAUAUCCAACAGAAAAAAGGAAAAGGUAAAAGUAGAAAAAAAAAUAUCAACAUAACAAGAGUGCACCUCCAAUAGUUUUUUUGCUUGUUCUGGGGACAUGUGAGUGUUUGCACCCAUGAACUUAAGCAGCUGUCCUUCUGUUACCCCCCCCUGAAUACUUUAAUAAUUAAGCAAUUCAGACAUGUCCAUAGCAAGAAGAAAGGAGCAUAAGGAACUAGAGGCUCUGGAUGGGAAAUUUAAUUGCAACUUAUCUAGGUACCCAUUUGGCCUAGCUUCUCCUUUUGCUCUAAGCUGCAGCCAUCUCUAGCAGCAUUUGGCAAACAAAAUAGCUACUACUAUGGCAAGAAGAAAUGAGAUUUGAGGCCCAAAAGCACAAGUAUCAAUGUGGGGCUUCAUCUUUUGCAGAAUAAAGACGUUGUUGGGAGGGAUUUCAAUGAAAAAGCUGUUAGUGAUUCUCCUACACCCUACAGCCGGGCAAUAGAGGCUCUAAGAAUAUGCUACUAAGUUUCAUCGAACAGUCCUACACCCAACAGCCGGGAAAUAGAGGCCUUACUAUACUACUGACCUUAGGUGGCAUCCAUUCAACACCAUGGAGCAGGCAAGAUUCACCAUAACAGGCUCUCACAGCAGCAACAAAUAACGUGCUCCUAAAAAAGCGCGUAUUUCCAUCAUAAGGUUCACCAUAGUGAGUCAAGGAGUUAACAUCAGCAAUUGGAGAAGGGCCUAUGGACAAAACAAAAAUUAGAACUGUAAUGCAUAACAAAAAUAAGGGCUUUUUUUGCAUUUGGCUCCCUCAAAAUAUUUUUUUUACAAAUAGCCCCAUCAAAUUUGUAAUUGCAAAUUUGGCCCUAUCCCCGCCACGCAGGCACCACGUCAGCGCCAUGGUUUUAAGUUGAACACAGUAAAUCAUUUACCGUGUUCAAACACGGUGAAUGGUUUACCGUGUUCCAUACCUAUAUUCCCCUCCUUCCCCCUUUUUAUUUUCCUUAUAUUUUUUCGCAAUACAUAUAUAUUAUACUUUCCCCAAACACGGUGAACCAUUCACCGUGUUUAGACACAGUGAAUGGUUCACCGUGUUCAACUUAAUAAACUAGCCCCAGCCCGACUCACAUGGCGCUGAUGUGGCGCCUGCGUGGCAGGGCUAAGGCCAUUUUUGCAAAUAUAAAUUUGUUGGGCCAUUUUUAAAAUAAUUUUUUUCCAGGGGCCCAAAUGCAAAAAAAGCCCCAAAAAUAAUAAUCAAUAAGGUGCAACAAAAGCAUUACCUAGCUCAUCAUCAAAUGCAAGACAAUAUGCUUUAAGUUCGCGAUCAGUUUCUCUAUUCAUCCGCUGUCCAAUUAAAAAUGCUGCAAGCAAUGCCUCACUCACCUUUGCUGGCUUAUCUUUCUCAAUGCUAAUUGGAAGUACAUCUCUUAGAAUGCCCUGAACUUCUUCAUAACCUAAAUGGCCACCAGCCAAAACUUCUCUCAGAGCACCUACUAGCCUCAUUUCAGCAGUUCCUUGACCAACAUAAUGAGGCCCUAUUGAGCUAGUUGUUCCCAUUAUUGUGCCCUCUGGAUCUGCUAUAAAGAGAACUUCCGGUGGAAGAACCUGUGCAAGGCGUGGCCAGAAUAUACUCAUGGCAUGUCUUUCACCCUUACUCCACUGUGUUUCUUCAGGAAAAGCAUUUGCUCGUAUUGUCAUAGCAGCAAAGAACGCCCCAAGUUGCGCUUCGGAGACUACUCCGUCUUUGAGUUCUCCCCUAGCUUAAGAAACAUAGAAGAUUAGGAAAAGUAUUUGAGCACUACCAAUCAACUGCAUGCAACUGAAGUAGUUAAACUGUAGAAUGUAUAACAAUUUGCAUGUUUUCUUUGUUAUAAUUCCCUUAAUAUGGUUUAAGAUUACUCACUGGAAUUAUAUGAGAAUUGAGCUUCAAUAAAUCAUUUUUUUCACUUCUUACAGUUCAACUUUGCAUGUAUGUUGCAAUCCACACGCAUUAUAUUGUUGUACUUUUUAGACUAUUUAGAUUUCAUAAUUGCAAGUCGAAAAAGAUAAUACUGUAAUACAUCAUUUUAGUGAGCUUAAAGAUAUUUUAGUGAGCUUAAAGAUUGUAGAAAUAAAAGUGUCCAAAUUUUGAGUAAUACAUUUAAUUUUUUUCAAAAUAUUGAUCCAGCUUUCAACACUCCUAAGUAUACUCUUAAGCAAGGUUUUAAGUGCCCAUCGGCAUAGGCCGUAUCCACCGUACCGUACCGUACCAACAAGAUACUGGGACGAUACAGACCCCGUGCCGAUGGCAAAGCUCAAAACCCUCUAUUCUUUAAAUUAGUAAAUAAUUUCCUCAAUUAAGUUCAAAAGAUGUGAUAAAAAGACAUAAUAAAUAGUUAGAAUAUUUUGUUGCUAAAGAAAAUAAAUAUUUCAUGCUAUAAUGUGUCGGCACACAAGAAUUUUUUUGACCAGCACGCAUCGGCACGGCUCGGCACGCACCGUGCCGUACCGUGCCGGCAAGUUUCCGGCACGACCCCGUGCCACAGCACUUAAAUCCUUACUCUUAAGCAUUAUUUUAUCUUGAAAUAUUUCAAUACACUGGUGAUCUGACUAGCGUCAUCAAAUUCUGAUAACAAAGGUAAUUUGCCAGUUAUUCUCAUUUUUACUAUAUUGCCACCAAAAUGAGUUUAAGGAAUGAGGAUCAUAAUGGUAUUUCCACACACUCUCCAACUUUACCAAAUAUUUGUGAAACUUAAAUUCUGUAUAAUAAACAUAAGAAUGAUGAUAGUAACAGAUCUAAUUAUUUCUACGCACAUAAUUGACCAAGUGCAUAACACAGAGGAUGGAGCGCUCAUUCAGAGGCAUAAGUCCCCACAGGCGACUCAUUCCUCGAGCAGGAAACAGAGCGUGCAUACAAUGGAACGUGCAUGUCAAGCAUGCAUAGUCACGAAGGUCCUAUUUGGAUGGCGGAAUAAGUUAUCAAAGAAUAGCUUAUUCCGUUUGAGAAUUUUCUAGUAUUUUCUAGUAUGAUUGUAAAUAAGGAAUAUGAUUUUUUUUUCUUCUUCAAAGAUCUUGCCAUCAAAAAUUUGGUAGGAUAGUAUAUUUUAUCUACGAGGUGAUUUAUCUUAUUUAGAAAAAAUGAUUUGAAGGCUGAAUAUGGCAUUCCAUUCUAAAUAUUUCAUCACACUCCUUAUCAAUCAACUAUACAAAUUUCUUUAGUAAGUCAGUGAGAUAUAUGGAACAAAAUAUUCAUGCAUCCAAAUAAGGCCGAAGACAGAUUAGAUGCAAUGAAUUUGGUCAGAUUCAGCAAAUUCAAUCAGCGAGAAAUAGCUAAAUUCACUUAAUCGCCCUGUCGAUAGUAAUUGGCGCUGCCAAUAUUAUCAUCUGAUGACACCACUCUUAACAGUCAACUCUCAUACAAAAUUCAGGAAAACAUUAGUAACACCAAAUACUUGGGGAGAGUUCCUUAUCCAACCACCAAUAAGACGACUUUAACUCCAACGCAACUAAUACAAACCAAAUUGGGUCAAUACUCAAGGUAAAGAACACCACUUCGAAACCAGUGCAAUCAAACACAAGCAUCACCUGAUGUGAGGAUGGUAUCAAGAACCCUAAUCGCCUGCUCCUCUCCGAGCGGCUUCGUUUGCUCCGGGCCCGUGCACACCUUCGCCUGCGCCUCCAGCACCGUCCGAUUCGGCUGCGGGAUCUCCGGCGGCCGGUACGAGGUCGAGAGCGCCGGGUUCCGGAGGUCCAUCUCGAGGAGCCCCGCCUCGUCGAUCGCCGCCGCCGCAGACGAUCCGGCCCUCGUACGGGUCAAGAAGCGAAGGGAGCUGGGGUUCUUGGAGAGGGAGAGGCUCGCGCGCUUCGUGGGGAGGGAGAAGGAGGGGAAGUUAGGGUUAGGGUUGGGGUUCGGUUUGAGGAGGAUCUUCAUGGUGUGGUGAGAGAGGAGGUGGGGGAGGAAGAUGUAGGGACUGGGCUGGUCGUCGGCCUCGGUGAGCUACUGAGCUCCUCGAUGAGACGAGCUGGGAGAAACGGAAGGACUUCUUUUUUUUAAAUAAGGACUUUUUUACAAAAUAACCUUCUACAAUAUUAAAAUUUGCCAAUUAUCCCUUUCAAAAUUUUAUUUUGAAAACUAACACUCAUUUCGCCACGUAGGCACCAGGAUGGGUAUUUGUUAUGAAGGCAGCAAAUCGUUCACCGCCCGUCUUCCUAAUAUAACUUUAGAAGACGGUGAAUGAUUCACCACCUUCACUAAAACGGUAAAUCAUUCACCGCCUUUAGUGUAAAUUUCCCACCACGCAACUUAGAAAUUUUCUAAGUCGUAAAGGGAAUAAUGUACCUUGAGAAGGCGGUGAAUCGUUCACCGCCUUCAUUAGAUAUACCUCAUCCCGACACCUCUCCUUCUCUCUCGCGCUUUCGUUCUCUCUCUCUCUCUUUCUUUUCAGGAGCGCUCGUCGGUCACCGCCGCCCCUGCCGCCGUCGCCCCCGCCAGUCAAUGAUCGCCAUCCCCCCCACAGUUGCCCCUGCCAACCCCGCCGUUGCCCCUGCCAACCCCGCCGUUGCAGGUAUUGAGAUUGCUACCUGCCAGAUUUUCUGUGUAUAUUUAGUUGAAAUUUUCAGUUAAUUAAGUUUUCUGGAAUUAAAACCCAAAAUCAUUCUUAGCCCCGAUGCAACAAUAAGACUUAGGAACCAUUAUUAGAGAAAACUUGAAUAUACAACUAUUCAUUAGAUAACAAUCAACGAAAAACUACAUUUCAGAGUAAGAAAAACUUAUGGGCAAUAUUAAUGGAGUAAACGAUGUCAUUUUUCUCCACUUUCCUUAUUAAAGGCUGCGUUUGGUUCAGGUAUAAGUAAGAACCGCUAGUUCCAGAGAUAGAUACAAGUUCAGAUAUAACCAGGAACUAAAUCAAUUUUGCGUUUGGAUGAAAAUUGGGUUGUUCCUAGGAAUAAAUUAAAUAGUGUUUGGAUGGUUAGAUUGGAACAAGAGGAAUAAGAGUUAUAAUUUAAAAUUAAAAUUAUAUUAUGUAAUUAAUUAACAUCAAAAUAUUACUUAAAAAUAGAUAAUAAAUUAAUCAUUAAUAGUUAAUUAUAAAUAAUAAUAAUUUUUAAUAAUUAAUUAUAAAUAAUAAAUUAAUAAUAUCGAUUAUCUAAUUAAUAAUAAUAAUAAUAUCAAUUAUCUAAUUAUUAUUAAUAUUUAUUAAUAAAUAUUAAUAAUUAUUAAUAAUUAAUUAUUAGUUAUAAAUUAAUAAUAAUAAUUAUCUAAUUAUUAAUAAUUAAUUAUAAAUAAUAAUAUAAUAAUAAUAUUGAUUAUCUAAUUAUUAGGGAUAAUAAUUAUUAAUAAAUAAUAAUUAUUAUUAUUAAUUAUUAAUAAUUAAUUAUUAGUAAUAAAUUAAUAAUAAUAAUUAUGUAAUUAUUAAUAAUUAAUUAUAAAUAAUAAAUUAAUUAAUUAUGUAAUUAUUAAAGUAAUAAAUAAUUAUUUAAAUAUAUUAAUUAGAUUAAUUAAUAAUUGAUUGCUAUUAAUUAACCUUAUUCUCAUUAAGGAACAAGCUUGUUCCAGCAAACUAGUGGAACAGCAGUUCCAGCCUUAAUUAUUCCAGAAUUUUCGGAACUGCUGUUAUCGGAUACCAAACAUCACGUUUGGGAACAAAAGAGGGAACAAGGGCUUAUUCCCCCCUUUGUUCCCGAACCAAACGUAAAGGUUUAGGAUGGGUGUAAAAACUAAGUUUAAAAUGGUUAAUCUGUUGCCAAUUUUACAAUCGGUGUAAAACUAGAUUUAGAAAGGUUAACUCUUUUCUUCUAUUGGGAGUAGUAGUAGUCCUAUUCAGAUUCAACUUUUUGAUAAAUAUGAGCUCUUUCCUGUUAAAACUCUCAAUGAAUUGAAGCGUAAAAUGUUAAAAGUUUAU